UCUAGUAAGUACUUAAGUUGUAAUUAGGGAAGGGGUGGGGUGAUUGCCUCAUGAUUGUUGCAUUGUAAAAUUCACAUUCAGUCUCUAGUUAAAAUAACACAAUCCUUCGAAAACCCUGAGAUCCCGUGAUAUAAGCUGAUAAUAUAUAUCUUCUUCAAAUGGAUGUGAAGUCGAUCUGUCUUUUAUUUAAGUUUACUGAGCAAAGGGGACUAGCCAUAAAAGCUCGAAGGUGAGCUCGGUACUCGUAGUCAUGAUCAUCACAAUCAUCAUAUGAAGCAUAAGGCUUAACUACUUUUCCAUAACAUUAAUUUAUUUAAUUAAUUAGUACUCAGCUACCAAAGUAGCAGUUAAUCCAUAUGAUUCUCCAUUAACUCUACGGCAGCUCAAUCUAAUCUCCCCUCGGUUCCGGUCAACGGGCUUAUAUUACCCAUUUUAAUCAUGGAUUCCCCGAAAUUCUCAAAGAAUGCGCUCUGAUUAGCGCUGAAGUUGUUAACAAUGUCGAUGGUAUCAGCCCCGCUAGUUGAAAACAGCUCUUGAUCGCUUUGGAGCAAGCCUUCCUCGACUUGAAGAUUCGAGAAAUACUUUGCAUCGAAAGUGUCAGGAGUUACAGGAUCCAAAUUGGUCAGUACACUGCCAUUCCCAUUCAGUGGGCAUAUCUCACUCAAUGUUUCUAAGUAGGUUGAGUUCAAGGUCGGAUCAGGACUGCCUGUGCCGCUGAAGUUAUACAAUCGAUCGGUGAAAGUUAGACAUCUAGCACGCCCAAAUGUGUGAGCACCUGUUAAUUUUGCAUGCCAAAUUUUGUUACUAUAAAGAGAGGGAACAUAGUUAGAUAUAUUUUUUUGCAGCCGUACGAUUUGCUUGCUUACCAGAUAGUGCAAACCAGAUCCGUGGUGUUGAGGCCUACAGCUAAGAAGUUGGCCUCGAGUUCGUCAAGUGUAAAAGUAGGAGCUGGAAGGGCUUCGUUGGCAGCCGUGCGAUUAGCUGUUAAGCUAUCCCUUCUUCCUAAUAGCACUGUCCAUGAAGGACCUCCAGACUGCAACCAUAGAUUAGUUACUCAAAUUCCAAAUCUCAUGAAACAAAAAUGCUUUAAAUUGUUGUUGGAGCUUGAAAUGUAUACCAAAGCAACAGAUUCUUCGGCAGCAAUGGCGAGAAUAUCAGCACAGGAAACGACGGCGGGACAAGCAUUCUCCAAUGCAGUCUUGAUAUUGUCCACAACAUCAAAUCCUCUGGCCGAGUUGUUAUUUGGCACUGCUGUUUUUUCGCUGUCAAUGGUACUGUUAGGAUUGGUACUGUUGUCCAGCAGAAUUGAUCCAUCGCAACCCUGAAAUAUAAUCAACAAGUGUUUUUCAUCUAAAAAUUGCAUGUUUUUGAAUUUUGCUUACGUCUUCUGAAGUUCUAUUAACAGAGAAGCAGCUGAUAAUAAAAGCACUUUUGUGCUCAGGCAUUGUUCCGAAGUCCAGUAACUUAGAAGCUGCUAAUAUAUACAAAGUAAUCUUGGUUGGUAUGUUUUCAAAGUUGAAUAAGUUGUUCAGCUUAAAUCUUUGAAGAACUAAUUAAACUUCGCAUCUGAUACCACGGAAGAUAUUUUCAGGGAAACUAAUAUUAAUUCCAUUUGGAUAAAAAGAAAAGAAAACAUGGACAGAUCUUUUGGUACUCCAACCAAAGUUCUAAAAGACGUUAGGCGAUAGUCGAGCGGCGGGCUAGAGCCUAACAGUUAGGCGGGGCCCUACGAGGACUAGACCAAUUUAAGCAAUUUAUUGUAUAUUGUAUAAAUAAGUGUCUAUUUAUACUUCAAAAGACACAUAAUUGUAUUGGAUAUGUAAAUUGCUAGAUAAAAUAACAUACAAAUUAUAAAGUAUUAGGACAUAUUGUAAAUAUUGGAAACAAACAUAUAAUAAGUGUUUAUCCAAGUAUUCAAUGAGUCUCUUACAUUUUAUUGACAAAAAUAAAAUGCAAAAUGAAAGUUAUCAAUUUUAUGUCUAGGUGGAGUCGCAACCUAGGCGGUGCAUAGGCAGGUUUAGGAGGGCUAAGUGGGCGCCUAGGCGGACACCUAAGCGGGUUUAGGCACACUUUCUUAAUUUUAAAACGCCUAGGGACUAAUUGGGACGGUAACCAGUUGCCUAGUGUAUAAGCGGGAAUUUUCAGAAUAGUGGCUCCAACUACAAGUUCUACUUAUUUUAAUUAAAAGGGUUCUUCACAAAUAAGCUCCCUCAAAACUAUGUUAGGUCAAAGGCACUUAAAUCUCCUUGCACUAUACACUAAAUAAGCAUAACACCAUAAAUCGAGCUGGUGCACUACUACUGAGGCCAUACUUAAAAACCAAAAUCCCGGACUGGAAAUUUCCAAAAAAAAAAAAAAAAAAAAAAAAAUCCCGGACUGAAAUUCGUGAUAAGAACACCGGCCAAAGAAAUAUUUUUUUACAAACAAAGGGUAUCAAAAGCAAAGAAAUGAAUCAUACGUUGACGAAGCAAUCGUGAAAGUGAAGCCGAGUGAGGCUGGCAGUAAUCCGGGGAUCGGUCUGCAGAGCCUCUUCAAUGACUCCACGCACAAUGGUGGUGGCAUUCGGGCAUGAUUCAUCAUAAAACGUAGGAGUCAACUGAGCAUCACCACAUCCUGCACUUGCACACAAGAUUAGUAACACUGCCAAAACAUAUUUGUAAUACAAUUGAGCACUAUAAGGAGGCAUUUUUCUCAGGUGGUGUUCGAUUUUUCUAACAUAUGUUGAUCAAUGCAUAUGUGAGCCAAACGGUAUAGGUCUAUUUAUUGAGUGACAGAGUGAACUGGUAGAUGAGAAACCCGCGUUAGGUAGAUGUCAAAUUAGGUUUAUUUUUUUGGUAAAAAGUUCAAAUUAACUUAAAUAAAUAAAAAUCGAAGCCCUUUUCUCCCUUUUCUCCCUUUUUCUUCUUUACGUGAAGUGAACCAUGAUGAUAUACUGGAAUCCAGAAUGUGGGUCCCUGGAUGCAAUAUAAUCUGUCAUAUGGAGUAUCUGUGGAGUAUGAUUUUCUCUCCUCUUAUUCUCAUCUUAUUCCUUCUCCUCCUCUCACAUAUUGUUUUUUGUCUUAUUGUCUUUAUAAAAAAAUCAAUAUAAGAUGUUGACGUGAUUAAACCGUAACCAUUCAAAUAAAAGAAAAGGAAAAGGGAGAGAGAUUAGGAGGGAGGGAAUCCUCCUCCUAAAUGUUACUACCCUUCCCGCGAAAAAAGGUGAGGUUUCUGUAGACAUCGAAAUUUCGGUAAAUAAAUGUUGACCGAUAAAUCAAAGUGUCAACGCUCAUGUAUUACAUAAAUUUUACACGUAGCGUGUGACUAAACGAAAAUUGAAAUGAGUUGGAAAAGUCAUCAAAUAGGACACGUGUCAACACCUGGCAGAAACGACUUAUUUCAUCUGGGAUAUUAUAUUCAAAAUUAGGCAUUGGAAAAUUCUAUAAAUACAAGCCCAUUUCAUUCAUUUGAAGGGAAGGAAUUGAUAUUACACCUUGAAGCUCUGAAGCUCUGAAACUCCGAAGCUUUCAAGCAUCCAGGUUCCCGAAGAAUCAAGAAAGCCUUCUUUGUUCUUCAUUCAUCGUUCUUCCAAGAUCAAGCCCCAACGGCCCUUUGGAUCAACAAUCAUCCACCAAUUCAAGAUCAAGCCUCGACGGCCCUUGAAGAAAGUGUUCUUCGUUCUUCGUUCAUCGUUCUUCCAAGAUCAAGCCCCAACGGCCCUUGAAGAACUUCCACCUAUUCAAGAUCAAGCCUCGACGGCCCUUGAAGAAAGUGUUCAUCGUUCAUCAACCGUUCAUCCUAAGAUCAAGCCUCAACGGUCCUUUGGAUCAACAACAUCAACAAAUCCACACAUCCAACCGUUCUUCGAGAUUAAGCCCAAAAGCCCUUGAAGAUCCGUUCAUCACUGUUCUUCAAGAUCAAGCCCAAAAGCCCUUGAAGACCCGUUCAUCACCGUUAUUCAAGAUCAAGCCUCACACGGCCCUUGAAGAAACACUCAUCCUCAAGAUCAAGCCCCAACAGCUCCUUGAAGAUCCGCUCAAAUCCACCUUCAAAGAUCAAGCCCACGGCCCCUUGAAGAAACUUCCAAUAGUUCAUCCAAGAUCAAGCCUCGACGGCCCUUGGAUCAAUCAAACAUCCACAAAUACACACCUUACGGAGAUCGAAUCAGAGGAUCAAAAUAGAGAGAGAUUGUAACCCAAAAUCAUCACAAAUACAAAUAUUUUGUUUGUGCACGUUGUUCUUGUCUCCUUCGUUUCAGGAAUUUUCCGUGUUCACAAAUUGGCACGCCCGGUGGGAUCAUCUCUACCUCUCAUCUCUUUCUCCGUUCAAGAAAUUCAAGCGCACUUCCAAAAUUAAUGGCAUCAAGGAAGGCUCAAACUGUUCCCGCAACAGGUGCAAAGAAUAAAAGCGUCCUCGUCGCAACUGGUGUCACUUUGGGCAUCACGACUCGAAGCAUGGCAAGAGCUACUUCUGCCGCCUCUUUCACCUCUGCAUCAACUCUGCCAAGGGAACAAAAGCACCCAAGGCACGAGCCUUCGAUCACCUUAGCCUCACUAAGGGCACCAAGGGGGGGAAGCCCAAGGAAAUACUCCGAAUGCAUGCUCUCCGAUGCCGAUUCAAGCGACAGUUCAGCCAUGCAAGUCAUGACCAUUGGAGCAACUUCAAUCGAUGAGCAGCUGGCUCAAAUGAAUGAAGCAAUCGCAAGGCUAACCCGAACUGUGGAAGAAAAAGACUUGCAAAUUGCAGCACUAGUCAACCGACUGGAGGCGCAGGACGGCGAUAAACCCGACCCAGAGGAUGAUCCACUAAAGGGAGGAGCUGGCGGAGACGAAGAACCCCCGGUGAAGAAAAUCGAUGGGAAGCCGAAACCAGACCAAGCAGCGGCACUCAUGGGAUCUCUUUCUAUCCAGCAGUUGCAGGAGAUGAUCACCAAUACCAUCAAGGCACAGUACGAAGGGAGCUCACAUACCUCCUUGUUCUACUCGAAGCCCUAUUCCAAGAAGAUUGAUGCCCUAAAGAUGCCAAUGGGUUAUCAACCACCAAAGUUCAUGCAGUUUGAUGGAAAAGGAAACCCAAAACAGCACGUUGCACAUUUCGUCGAAACUUGCAACAACGCGGGGACGGAGGGAGACUACCUCGCCAAGCAGUUUGUGCGCUCGUUGAAAGGAAAUGCCUUUGAGUGGUACACGGACCUAGAGCCUGAGUCCAUCAACAGUUGGGAGCAAUUAGAGCGGGAAUUCCUCAACCGCUUCUACAGCACCCGCCGCACUGUGAGCAUGCUAGAGCUAACGAGCACAAAGCAGUGGAAGGACGAGCCAGUCAUUGACUACAUCAACAGGUGGCGCACUCUAAGCCUCGACUGUAAAGACAGGCUCUCGGAAACCUCUUCAAUCGAGAUGUGCAUCCAAGGCAUGCAAUGGGGUUUGCAAUACAUCCUUCAAGGCAUUAAACCACGGACCUUCGAGGAAUUGGCCACCCGUGCCCAUGACAUGGAGUUAAGCAUCGCCCAUCAUGGGAAGAAGGAACUGAUCGCUGAUUACAAGAACGACAAAGUUCUUGGGCCAAAAGUGGAGAAGGCUACGUGGAAAUCCACCAAAGAAGCAAUGACAGUCAACACAGCUCCCGUCAAAAUCCCUACACGAGGCAAGGCGAUUCAAGCCGAAGGCUUUCGUGAUCAAGAGAUGCGUAGACGCACUUUGAAGGAGCUUGAGGAGAAAACUUAUCCAUUCCCCGACUCUGAUGUGGUUGCCAUGUUAGAAGACCUGUUGGACAAGAAGGUGAUCAGUUUGCCUGAGUGCAGACGGCCGGAAGAGAUGAAUCGUACCGACAACCCAAGAUACUGUAAAUUCCACCGCUUCAUCAGUCAUCCAACAGAAAAGUGCUUCGUAUUGAAAGAUCUCAUCCUGAAGCUAGCACAACAAGGGGAAAUCGAGCUUGACCUCGAAGACACGGCCGCGGCACACACUACUACUAUUGUGUUUGAAUCACUCGAUCAUGUGCAUCUCCGAAGCAUGCAUGACCAUUCCCGUCAAUGUUCAAGUCACAUGGCACCUCCUACACAACCAUCACCGGGGGCAAGCAACCAAGAUGCAUCUACUGGUGAUAAGAAAGGGUGGACAUCGGUGACCUACAAAAAAACGAGGAAGCCAAGACCACAAGCCAUAAGGCCAAAAGAUGAGCCUAAACCCGCCCUUCGAACUUCAGUCUUCGAAAGGCUGAAUUAUUCAAAACCUAGAAUUGCAGCACUUGAUCGCAUCAGUGGUCGAGACCAAACUUCCGUCUUCAAAAGGCUUGAGACGCCAACACCUCAAAGAUCAGUCUUUGAAAGGUUAUCAAAACCCAAGAAACAAAGCGGCACAGCUAGAUCUCCUCCGCAACGGUCGGCUUUGGACAGACUUGAAGAAACUAAGAAGCCUUCUAGAAACAGGAAGACAACACCAAAGGGAGAGAAGCUCGACAGUCCAGCAGGAAAAGACGAUGUUCAAAGCUUGAUUCCUUCAAGGAUGAAGCGCCAAGCCACUUUGGAAGUCGACACAAAAGGACCACUGAAGGUAAGGAGGCGCACCAUCAUCUACACCGGCCAAUCUUCACGGCAACAAACCCAAGAGGACCGCACUAAAGAGAAGGCCCAAGAAGACAAAGAAGACGAAAUCCUGGAAGAAGACGUCACUUCCGGCUCUGUCAACUCAAAAUUUUCACUUCAAUUGCUGGGGACAUGCUCCAAAAACAUGCCAGUCAAGCCGAGUGAAGUUGAAGGAUGGACUUAUGUCACUCCGAAGAAAUUGCACAAGAAGCAUAUGUCUUCUCCACAAGCUCACCAAUGGGAAAGGGGGCAAAACAGCUCCUAUUCACCUCCAGAACAAUGUGAAAGUGUUGGAGAUAAUGAAACUUUGACACGAAGAUCAUCCAUCCCCAUCACGAUGCGUGACAUCUUCCCAGAAGACUUCUUCAACUACUCAGUCAAGGCUCCUUGCUAUGAAGAUUGCGAGGAACGACUCUCUCAGAUCGCUUGACGAACCAAAGCUCCUUGUCUGUAAGAGCCUAAACUGCAAGACACAAAGCUCCUUGUCUGUAAGAGCCUAAACUGCAAGACACAAAGCUCCUUGUCCGCACGAGCCUAAACUGUAGGACACGAGGCUCCUUGCCUGCACGAGCCUAAACUGCAUGGCACAACGCUCUUGGUCUGCACGAGCAUAAAAGGCAACACCAAUGCUCAUUGUUCGCACGAGCCUAAACUGCAUGGCACAAUGCUCCUUGUUCGCACGAGCCUAAACUGCAUGGCACAACGCUCCUGGUCUGCACGAGCAUAAAAGGCAACACCAAAGCUCCUUGUCUGUAAGAGCCUAAACUGCAUGGCACAACGCUCUUUGUCUGCACGAGCUGAAACUGCAACGCGGCACCAAAUGCUCCUUGUCUGCACGAGUUGAAACUGCAAACGACACCAACACUCCUUGCCUGCACGAGUUGAAACUGCAAACAGCACCACAAAAAAAAAAAUACCAAAAAAUAUGUAUGCAUUUGAACUACGUUUUGACUUGAUCUCUUUCUUUGGAAGGGUACGUAGGCAACUUAAACGUUCAACUUUGAGUACAGUCAUACUAAAAAAACAAAUAAAAUAAAAUGUUUUAUUAAAGAAAGUCAAUUUUAUUACAAAAAAGAAAAAGAGAAAAAAAAAAAAAGAAUACAUAUGUUAUUAUGUAUUUACAAAAAAAAAAAAAAAAAAAAAAUGUAUAUGUAUGAGUGUCUCGGCCCAGCCGCAACAAAAGGUUUAAGCCACAAGCCCAAUUCGGUUGAGAAGAAGCACAAAACCCAGAUCUCUCCAAAGCAACACCCGGCCCAGGAAAAUAGCCCAUAUCAGUCCACACCGCAGGACUAGGUCACUCUCCACACCGGAGUUGGCUCGUCCCGAGUCACCGACAUGGUUUUAGAUGCGAAUCCCGUGGCUAUCUUCACCAUCACCUGUCGCUGCUGAGUGCUCAUAUCGGCGCCACCAUUAGAUUGUUGGGUGCGAUGCCCACGUCUACCAGGCUAUCAUCCUCUCCAGAUCUCCUCGAGCACAGAGAUUGCGUCGUCCAAAUCAUCAUCAUCAUCACUUGCAAGACCCGCAUCUCCCACUCCCUCAUCUUAAUCUCCGAGUCCAAGAAGCAACCAUGUUUACAGCAGGGAAUUCCAGUCCAUGUUGGAAGGGUUAGAUGAGGACGGUUGUGUGGAAGAAGCCGAACGCAUUUCUCAACUGCAACUCCCGAGCACACAUCCAUGGUGUGAUUGGGUGUGGGAGCACCAAAAUCCUCAAAAGUUCCUCAAUUGGCGAUUCCAAUGGCUUCAAUCUCCGGCGGGAUCUCGACCUUUAACCCGGUCCGAUCCUCAUAGAUCUGAAAUUGCCAUGACUCCCGUGGAUCUCUCCUCCCUUUCCCUUCGUCUCUAUAGAAAUUUGGGGCACCCAGAGGGCACCCAAAUUCGGUCUCUCCCUCUUCAUUCGCCGCUGCCAACCUAGGCAGAGCAGAUCGCGACUCCUCUCUCUCCUCCGCUUACGCUGCUCGCGGUGCUCGCCUGCUCUCUGCAAGCCUCAUGCGUGCACCCAUACCUCCACCUCACCGUCAGGCUCUUGGAGCCCAUCAAGCAACAGGUCUCUCCCUCUUCAUCCGCCGCUGCCAACCUAGGCAUAGCAGAAAGCGACAACGCCAUAAAUCCCCACACCAGUCCGUCUCCUGCGACUUCGACGGCUUCGAAACAGUUGCGACGGCGGCGCCACCAUCUCUUCUCAAUUCCACCUCAGAUUUCGACUAAUAUUUCAGACUUGGACGCAACCGCAACCAAGGCAUGAUUUUCUUGAGCUGGGGCAGGCCAACUCCUCAGGAACAAAAGGCUUGCAUUGGCAGGACUGGAGGCAUUUUGGUUUGAAUUGGGCAUUUUUUGAUUCGAAGACACCAGUUCAAGAUGGAGUGAAGUUUUGUGUUUGCGUCAACGAGUUUCUGCCAUGGGUCACAGCCCAUUCUCAUGCUUUCUCCACUCUCAAACUCCUCUCACGGCUAAAGAAAGCUUUUACUCGGAAAGAGCCCACAGAGAAGCAUAUGCAACAAUCCUACAUUCUGCCCAUGUGUAUGUUUGUGGAGCCAUUGCUGCAGCUCAGAGCAUCCGUAUGUCUGGUUCAACACGAGAUCUUGUAAUACUUGUUGAUGAAACAAUCAGUGAGUAUCAUCAUGGAGGGUUGGCAGCUGCUGGAUGGAAGAUGCACACAAUCCAAAGAAUCAGGAACCCUAAAGCCCCAAAUCUGAACCCAUGUCGCUGCGGAAAGCCUUUCGCUCCUGGAAAUUCUCCAAAUCGUUCAGGGAAUUGAAGCUCAGCGACGAGGAUCAGGCCCGUGGGGGCGACCGCCGAGUCGUCCGUGACUCGAACUGUGCUGACUCAUCUUCGUCGCUGUUGUCGUCUUCAUGGUCGGAUAUGCUCCCGGAGCUGCUCGGUGAGAUCAUACGGAGAGUGGAGGCCAGCGAGGACAAGGGGCCUCACCGUAAAAAUGUCGUCGCUUGUGCCUGUGUCUGCAAGCGGUGAAGGGAUAUCACUAAGGAGAUCGCGCGGUCUCCUUCGUACAGUAGCAAAAUUACCUUCCCUUCGUGCCUUAAACAGCCUCUCCCCGACGAUGGCGUCCCCAGACUGCUCCUCGACAUUGGUCUCUACUGCAGGAUGUGGGUUCUGGUUGUUUGGUUUUGGGAAUUAGGUUCUGGUUCAUCAUCAUCGGUAUGCAGGUUCUGGGUCAGGGUUUAGAACUUCGUUCAGGACUUCGAUCUCGUCGUCUCAGUCUCUCAUUCUCCGUCUGAAUUCGAUCUCGACUCUGAAAUCCACCAGGCUCCUCCCUGCCUUCUCUCCAUCUAACCCAUACAGCCUGGACCAGGUCCCAUGGCACAAGGAUCAUCGCUGGGACAGGAACAGGAACUUUCCUCAGUUUUUGGAAUUUUCUUCUUGCUUUGGAUCUCUGCCGAGGGAUGAGUGGGCUGUGCUAUGUGCCUGUGCUCAGUAGUGGUGCUCUGUGGCUGUGCUCGAUCAGUGGCGGUGCUCGGUGGCAGUGCAACGGAUGCGCAAUGGCUGUGCUCCGUAGCAGUACAACGGGUGUGCAGCGGCUGUGUUCGGUGGUUGGGCUCAGUGGCUAUGCUCUGGGUUCUAGCUGGAUCCGACGUCAAGAUCACCUCCACCUCCUCCGUCUCUUGCCUCGUAGCUGCCAACAACUUUAAAGACCGCUGUCAAACGACUAGCCGGCCGAGAAGCGCUUCCUCAAAUUCCAGCUCUCCGUCCGUCUUCGUCCGCUCCCUGCAAAUUCCUCUACCCACCACCCAAAUUUAUACAGAAAAACAUAUUAAAAAAAAAAAAAAAGGGAUGGUGGAGCAAAGUGGUGCUGGCACUACGUGAAAAAAGAAAAGAAAAGGGGAAUGGUGGAUCAGCACCAUGUGAAAGCGAAGAAAGAAAAAAAAAAAAAAUAUAUAUAUAUAUAUAUAUAUAAAUAAAAAUAAUAAUAAAAAAAUUAAAAAAAUUAAAAAAUAAUAAUAAUAAUAAUAAAAAAGGAGAGAAGGUGGAUUCUUGGUGGCUAGCACCAUGCAAAGGUGAAGGGUUUUGGAAUGGUGGAUCAUUCCACGUAAAAAAAAUAUAUACAUACAUAUAUAUAUAUAUAUAUACAUACAUAAUAUAUGUAUGUAUAUAGCAAAAAAAAAAAAAAAAAACGCAUUGAGAGAAAUAAAGUCCAUUUCAUUGAUUUUGUUGGAAAAAUACAGAGGGAACAUUUACAUGCCCAAAAAAAAAAAAAAAAAAAAAAAAAAAAAAAAAAAAAAAAAGUGCAAACAAACAAAAGCCUUUAUUGAUCAGGUGGCGCCUCACCACUCGGCAGAGCUCCAGAAACGAGAGGCGUCGGAGGUUGGCUGUUUGAAGUCUCAGCAGUCGGUACAGCCCAGAAGACGAAGGUAAAUGCUGCUGAAACAAACCCACAAACCUCCGAUGAUCAAGUAAAAUCUGACCAUCAGAUUCCUGCAUCUGGUCAAUUUUCCUCUUCAUGUUUGUGGCAUAGUUGUGUGCAAGCUUGUGCAACUGUUUAUUCUCAUGCUUGAGCCCUCUGAUCUCCUGUUUGAGACUCAUCACUUCAGCCGCCAACGAUUCAACCUGACGAGUUCGAGCAAAUAGGCGUUGGGCCAUGUUGGACACAGAACCCGCACACUGCACACUAAGAGCCAGAGACUCCUUAACAGCCAACUCAUCAGACCGCCUGGAAAGUAGUCUGUUAUCUUUGGGAGUGACAAGGUUCCGGGCUACCACCGCAGCGGUCAUGUCAUUCUUCAUCACCGAAUCCCCAACAGUAAGAGGACCAGUAGGGGAUAUGAAGGAUGGGCGCCAUAUGUUAUCUGGAGAAGACGGGACUACCUCUUCACCAAGGUUCAAAUCAAAACGACGGUCGGAGGGUCCAGACAUUUUCAAAGUGUGAAGGAAGAAGAGGUCGGACGAAUCAAGAUCUUAGAAGUGCAAGAAUGGAGUUUUCACAAGUAAAAUUCAAGUGUGCUUUGAAACGAACAACGUGCCUCUAUAAAAAAUCAACACUCGACGGGAUUUCAGAGAUCGAAGAGGCGAGCUCAGAAUUCGAAGAGGCCAUUCAAAAAUCGAAGAGGCAAGCUCAGAAAUCGGAGAAGCAUCUUGCUUUUCCAGACGCGUCGGCACCCGUCACACGCAAGCUCAGCUUUGCGAAAAUCACGGGCAAUUUGUCGAAGUGCCGAUCCCAGAUAUCGAAGAGACGCCAGUCUUUUCCAGACACGUCAGCACCCAUCACACGCAAACUCAGCUUUGCGGAAAUCACGGGUAAUUUGUCGAAGCGCCGAUCCCAGUUAUCGAAUAAGCGCCAGUCUUUUCAGCCGCGUCAACACCUGUCACAUGCACACGCAGCUUGGCGGAAAUUACGGACAGUUUGUCGAAGAUUUCUGAUAAAGAAGGAAGCACGUGAAGCCAUAUAGAUCAAUCACGCAUUGGUUGCCGACACGAGUGAAAGAACAGUACCUCUACAGGUAUUAAGGAACUCCCUAUAACUGUCCACCUUCACCCUCCAUAGCAAGGCAGACAUACAUAACCUUUCUUUAUCUCCGAUAACCUUUCUUCAUCUCCGAGAAUGCUUUCCCAACGAAGCCUCUCGAGUCAUUCAGUGUUCCUUAUUCCUUGGGGUACCUCUGCAAGCCAAUGACUCCAAAGCAAAAAUAUCUCAUAUCACCAGGGUAGAAAGCAAGAGUAUCUCAUAUCAUGCGUUCUCCCUGUCCUUUCCUUUGUCCUUGUUCUUACUUACAAAGACAAGGAUAAAGAAAACAAUAUGCCGGAACCUCCACUCAAACUCGGGUAAGGAACCGACUACUUGGAACCCUUCCCUGAUUGCUUACCUAGCACUGCUCUCGAGUACUCAUUUCGCACUGCUGCUGUACUUCCAAAGAAGCUGCCACAUCUGCCUGGAGAACAGAUAAGGCAAGUGAAAAUGAUACCUUGCAGCAUGUGGAGACAAGGUGCAGAAGGAACAAGCAGAGAAGAAUGCGGUCUGCACAGUCAACUCAGCAGAAGGAGUCCGAACUGAGGAACUCGAGAAGCUACCAUAUCUGCCUGACGAAACAAGCAGAGAAGAAUGCAGCAUGCGCAGCUAAUUCGGCAGAAAGAGUCUGAGAUGAAGAACUCGUUUUGACCCUCAAAUUCUUGGGUCGACUUACUAGGCGUUGUGGGCUGCACGUGCCGAUUCACCACCCUUGAAUCAAAUCCUUAAAGACCAAGUCAGCAACUGGAAGAAGAGCCCCAUCAAUCUUGAAGAUCAUACCGUUGACCAAACUGCUCAGGUGUGAAUUAGAAAGAUUGAACAAAGCAACAAGUCGUCACCUUCACCUCGUGCCUGCUUGCCAUGUGUUCGAGUCAGCCUUCAAGAAUCAAGCAUCAACGGCCCUUGAAGAAGCUUCCAGCCAAAUUCAAAAUCAAGCCUCAACGGCCCUGGAAGAAAUCACAAGUCCGAUUCAAGAUUUAAGUGUCUACCACCCUUGAAUCAAAACCUAGUUCAAGAAUAAGCUGUGGAAAAUCAACAAUUGGAGGAAUCCAGAAAAUCCUUCAACCCAGUUCAAGAUCAAAGCUGUGGAAAGUCAACAAGCGCAACAAAAUACGUGCCGAUUCACCCACUACCAAAGCCAAAGAUCAUCUACCACAUGAAGCUCAUUGUGAUCCAAUUUCAACCUUCAAGAUCAAGCCUCGACGGCCCUUGAAGAAAUUUCAAACGAAAGUUCAAGAACAAGCCUCAACGGCCCUUGAAGAAAUCUCAAAGCCCAAUUCAAGAUCAAGCCUCAACGGCCCUUGAAGAAAUCUCCAGCCCAAUUCAAGAUCAAGCCUCGACGGCCCUUGGAUCGACAUCUACAGUAAGGGACUUCAAAACGCAUCUCAUACACGCGACAAGCACAUGUACACGACGCGACUUGAAGUGGGGGCAUUUGUAGACAUCGAAAUUUCGGUAAAUAAAUGUUGACCGAUAAAUCAAAGUGUCAACGCUCAUGUAUUACAUAAAUUUUACACGUAGCGUGUGACUAAACGAAAAUUGAAAUGAGUUGGAAAAGUCAUCAAAUAGGACACGUGUCAACACCUGGCAGAAACGACUUAUUUCAUCUGGGAUAUUAUAUUCAAAAUUAGGCCUUGGAAAAUUCUAUAAAUACAAGCCCAUUUCAUUCAUUUGAAGGGAAGGAAUUGAUAUUACACCUUGAAGCUCUGAAACUCCGAAGCUUUCAAGCAUCCAGGUUCCCGAAGAAUCAAGAAAGCCUUCUUCGUUCUUCAUUCAUCGUUCUUCCAAGAUCAAGCCCCAACGGCCCUUUGGAUCAACAAUCAUCCACCAAUUCAAGAUCAAGCCUCGACGGCCCUUGAAGAAAGUGUUCUUCGUUCUUCGUUCAUCGUUCUUCCAAGAUCAAGCCCCAACGGCCCUUGAAGAACUUCCACCUAUUCAAGAUCAAGCCUCGACGGCCCUUGAAGAAAGUGUUCAUCGUUCAUCAACCGUUCAUCCUAAGAUCAAGCCUCAACGGCCCUUUGGAUCAACAACAUCAACAAAUCCACACAUCCAACCGUUCUUCGAGAUUAAGCCCAAAAGCCCUUGAAGAUCCGUUCAUCACUGUUCUUCAAGAUCAAGCCCAAAAGCCCUUGAAGACCCGUUCAUCACCGUUAUUCAAGAUCAAGCCUCACACGGCCCUUGAAGAAACACUCAUCCUCAAGAUCAAGCCCCAACGGCUCCUUGAAGAUCCGCUCAAAUCCACCUUCAAAGAUCAAGCCCAUGGCCCCUUGAAGAAACUUCCAACAGUUCAUCCAAGAUCAAGCCUCGACGGCCCUUGGAUCAAUCAAACAUCCACAAAUACACACCUUACGGAGAUCGAAUCAGAGGAUCAAAAUAGAGAGAGAUUGUAACCCAAAAUCAUCACAAAUACAAAUAUUUUGUUUGUGCACGUUGUUCUUGUCUCCUUCGUUUCAGGAAUUUUCCGUGUUCACAGUUUCAAUCCAAAAGUUAGUUAAUAAUUAGAAGUGUCCCAAACUUGAAGUGUGUUUAGAUAAUAAGUUUUUUAAUUCGAUCAAUAUGGUAUCUUGAUUAAAAUUCAAAGUCCAAAUUAGAAAACAAUGUAUAAUAAUCACCGCAAGAAAACGAGACAAUAAUUGUAAAUUCUCUUUUCUUAUAAAAAAUAGGAAAAAGAGAGAAGAAUAACAUUAGUUGAAUGGGCGGAUGAAUAAACUAAUGAGUUGAAUAAAAGAAGGGAUAGUGCUAUUCACAUUUUUGUUUUUAUUUUUCACACAUUCUUCGUAAUUUUCGGUUGUCAGAUCAAAUAAAUUGAAGAAUAUCACUGAUAAAAAACUAACAAGGGUGUGCAAAUGUAAAAAUAAGUGUGUGAAUAGUACUUUCAUAAAAGAAGUAUCAGAUAUAUCAUGGCUUUGUUAAUUACACAAAGACAUACCUAAUUAUAACAUCUCUAGAAAUUUAGGACUUGUUUGGAAUUUUUUUUAAAAAUGACUGAAAAUAGUUUUAGAAAAAAAUAUUUUUGAGUUUCAAAACAACUUGAAGUGUUGCUUCUUGGGUUUAUUUAUAGAAAUUAUACCUAUACCAAAAUUGGGUUGAAAAACGUUAUUCACCAAACGUGUUUUGACAAAAUACCCUUUGUUUUUCUUUCCAUUCCUGCUUUGUUUUAUAAUGUGGAACAUGUUGUAAAAUCGACAGUGGGUGCAGUGGAAUAAAUGAAACAAGACACAAAAUUUACGAGAUUCCUCUACAGUCAGUGUGACUGGAGUACGUCCUCGGGGCAGCAGUGGUGCUUUCAUUAUAAUUUAGAAUAAUAGGAGUACAAAGAUAACUCUCUCUAUUAUCUCCUCUCCUCUUCCUCUCCUUUCUCUCUUCCUCUCAUUUUCUCUCAUCCUUUCUUUCUUCCUAUCUCUCCGUGAGUCUUCCCACUUUGAUGUUGUGUGAGGUUUGUAUUUAUAUAGAAAAUAGGAGUAGUGUGUAGCAAGCUUCAGCAACCAAAAUGAAGGGCCAAUUAUUUAAUUAUUUAAAUGGACAUCCACUGUUCUACAACACUCCCCAUUGGAUGGCCAUAAGUCUUCGAUUGACUCGUUAAAAUCUGGAUCUGUUUUGAAUGCUUCCCCUGAUGAGUAUCUCCCCUGAUUUCAAAUCAUUUAGGCUGAUCGUUGAUCAUUCUGCUUCAGUCUCUUAGCAAAAAGAGUUUCCAAAAGAAGUGCUUUACUUGUUGUUAACUUUCCACAGGCUUGUUCUUGAACUGGGCUGAAGGGCCUUCUGUUAGACUUCCUCCAAAGGUUUGAAUUUACUUUUUUUAUUUGGAGCUAAAUUUAAUUCAAAUGUGGUGGACACUUGAUCCUGAAUCGGACUUGUGAUUUCUUCAAGGACAUUCGAAACUUGAUCUUGAAUGAAGUUAUACCGUGAGAAGCUUCACGUGGCAAGUGAUCUUCGGCUUUGUCGGGGAUGAAUUAGCACGUGUUUGUUGCGCUUGUCUCCACAUACUUCAAUGUAUCAUUUUCACUUGCCUUACUUGUUCCCCUUGCUUAAGUAGUAUUUUCCCUGGUUUUCCCCUAUGCAUGUGUGGCAUAUUCUCCUGUAGUAUUUGCCUUUUGAUGCAGGAGUGGAAUGCAACCCUUGCAUUUGGAUGGUUCAUCACUUCUUGGUGACUGGAGACCCAGCUCCAACAACAGUUGAAGAUGGCUACUCGAGAGCAAUACUAGCUAAGCAAUUAGGAAAGGUUUCAGGCAGUCGGUUCCUUACCGGGAGUUGGAGUGGAGGUUCCGACAUAUUGAUUUCUUUAUCCUUGUCUUUGCAGGUAAGAACAAGGACAAAGGAAAGGACAAAGAUAUUGCAUGAUAUGAGACACUCUUACUCUCGUCCAUGAAGAUAUGAGAUACUCUUGUUUCGGUGUGACUUGUUUGAAGAGGUAUUCUCGGAGAGGAAGAAAACUGAGUAUUUCGAGAUGCUUUAUUGAAGAUGCAUUCUCGGAGAUGAGAGAAAGUUAGGAGUUUUGGAUGUGUGCCUUGCCAUGGACGAUGAAGGUCGACUUAUAUAGGGAUUUCCCCAAUAGCAGGUAGUGGUGUUGUGCCUUUACUCUUGUCAGCAACUGUGGUGUAAUUAGAACAGUAAGAUUUACGCGUUUUCAACUUUGUCAGAGAUCUUUGACAAAGUUGCACGCGAUAGCAGAAAAAGCUGAGAUUGUGUCUGAAAAAUACCAACGAACUUUAUUCAGGAAAAUCUGGCUUUUGAAAUUCGGAUAGCAGUGCCUCUUCGAUCUCUCAACAAGUAGUUCUGUUGCCUCUUCUUUUAUCGAGAUAUCAAUUAUGUUCAAGAGUAUGCUCAGAAAGUUGCUGCCUGUAGAAAUUUUCCCCUUCUUGCACUUCUUGCACUUCUGAGAUUUUAUUUAACCUCUUCUUUUUUUCAUCAUUUCUGAAAAUGGCUUACCCAUCUAACAUUUGCUUAGAUUUGAGUCUUAGGAGUGAUAUAGACGAGCAGCGUCAGGAUAACAUAUGGUGCCCGUCCUUCUUAUCUUCUAAUGGUCCUCUUACAAUUGUGGACUCUGUGAUGAAGAAUAACAUAACCGCUACUGUGGUAGCUAGGAAUUUUCUCACUCCAAAGGAUAAUAGAAUCAUUUCAAAACAAUCUGAUGAGUCGGCCGUUCAAGACUCUUUAGCUCUCAGUGUUCAGUGUGCUGGCUCUGUUUCUAAUAUGGGUCAACGCUUACUUGCUCAAACUCGCGAAGUUAAAUCAUUGAUGGCUGAGGUGGCAAGUCUUAAAUAAGAGAUUAGAGGGCUCAAGCACGAGUGUUACACGUGCUUGCAAAUAAUUACUCUACGAGCAUGAAAAGAAAGCUCAACCAGCUGCAGGAAUCAAAAAGUCGAACUCAAAACAGUCACCAAAAGUUCGUUGCUAGAUUUCGAAAGUAACUGAUGCCUUCCCCUUUUGGUGUUUUGCCGAGUACUAGGGUGUCAUAUGAUCAAUCUCCAGUGCCUCCUCAUUAUGGGGUACUUCCGAGUACUGAGGCUUCACAUGAGCAACCUUUGUGAAGGCUCCAUCCUGUUUGUUUGUUUUGACUCAUGUGUAUGCACAUAUCUGUAAUUUCUCGGAGAUAUUAAUAGAUAAGCUUUAUUUCAUUCAGUGUAUUGUGCCAAAUACAAUAAAGCAUAUACUUCACUAAGAUGUGGUACUUUUGGACCAAACAUUAAUUUAUCUUUACCCUCACGAAGAUAAAUGAUCUUUCUUAGUGUUUACAUCAUUUGAGUAUUCAACUCAUAAUCUUUAAUCCAUAUGGUUCUUUUAAUAUCAUAGACAUCAUGGAUAAGAUUCGUGUUGGUAUAUUGUUUGAUCUGCAGCUCGAGACAAUAUUUCUCUCAACACUUUAUAAUCUUUCUUGACUCUUUAGGAGUCUCAAUUUAAUAUCAUCAACUCUUCAGGAGUUCUAAUUUAAUGUCAUUGACUCUUGCAAGAGAUUUUAGUAUGUUGCAACAAUAUCAUAAUGAUAGUACUCACUAAGGCAAUUUAUACCAUCCAUUGGUAUUGAGUACAUAAUUUAGGCUUUACCCUUCGGGGGCUUACUUCAAGCAAUUUGAAUCAUUCAGGGAUUUUCUACACUUCAUGACACAUUUUCCUUUGGAAUUUAUACAGUGCAAUUUGCUCCCAUGUAUACUUGAGGGAUUUACUUAUGGAGAUAUGAUGUGGGUGACUCACAACCCUUCGUAUAUAAUUCUCCAUUCAUAUGAACUCGUUUACAAGAGUAUAAUUAGUAACCUUGUGUCAUAUCAUGUAAGUGUAUUUCAUUAUAUUACCAAUGCUUAUAUGUAACCUUAUUGGUUCAACAUAUUUUGGCUAUUCAAAUAUAUAUAGGUCCAUUUUUCCACGUUCUUACAAAAUUGUAAUGGAAUCGCCUUUCUCCAUUUUUGGCCAAUAAUUUUGUUGACGAAAAAGAAUGAGACUCAAUAUCAACACAGCUCAUUGAUGAAUUUAGUAGCUACUUAUAAAAACCAAAAUUACCAUUGGUUAUCAUCAAUCCGUGAUCCCAUAUUCUCAUGUGCAUGCGCAUGCAUAAAAACUUUUCAUUUCUUUGGAUAUCCAUUGCCUCUCCAAGGGCAUUACACUAUCUAUUUCAGGAUAGUCAUAAUUUAGAGAAUGCGGAUCAUAACCUCUUCUUGAGCGUUAUAGAGCUUGAAUUUUAAUUUCCACUUCUAGGAGUUGAGUCAUUGGAACCUAUGCAUCUAUCAUGCUUCAUGCAUGAGACAUUAAUAUUCCCAUGUCCGUGGAUUGUCCUUUUUGGGACGUAUAUCCAUACGGCGACUGUCAUGCUUCUGGCAUGCAACAAUUAUGCUUCGGGAAUGCAAUAGUUCAAUAGUGCCAUAUUCUUCUUCUUUCGAAUGACUGAACGUUUUGAGUCUAAGGGUCUGCCAUGCUUCAGGCGUGCAACAGAUAAAUCAUUUAUCGCCUCAUUAUAUUGUCUAACAGGGACAUUAAUUCUUGUAGGCACAUUUGCAGCAAGUAAAUGUGAUUUUAUCACUUUCGUUGCAUUAUUAAAUGCAUCUGGCAUUUGAUUGAAACAUCGUUGCAUCAUUCAAUUAUUCUUACUUCAUUUUCAUAUUGAUUGCUUCGUGAAUCAAAAUAAGACAAAUUCUCUUCGUUCUUCUGGAACGGUCUUUUCUUAUCAUUCUUCUGGAAUGAUAUUUUCUCAUCAUUCUUCUGGAACGAUAUUAUUUUCUCCCCCUAACAGCGGGAAUAUUGUCUUAUCAAAAUGACAGUCUGCAAACCACGCGGUAAACAUAUCCCUAGUCAAGGGUUCCAAAUAUUGAAUGAUAGAUGGUGCAUCAAAUCCAACAUAAAUUCCCAGUUUGUAUCGAUGCCUUAUUUUAGUACAUUAUGACAGUGCAAUAGGAACGUAGAUAAUAUAACCAAAAACUCGUAAAUGUAUAAUGUUUGGCUAGUGCCUAAACACGAGUUGUACUAAGAAAUAUCGAUGGUUGGUAACUGGUCUCAACCAAACUUAAUAGUGAAUUAUGUAAAAUGGCAUGUCCAUAAGUAGAAAACUUGCAAUUUCGUUUUCAUGAGCAGAGCGUGGGUAAUCAAUUUCAUCCGCUUAAUAAAUGCUUCUACUAAACCAUUUUAAGUAUGGACAUAAGGAACUUCUGGUCCUAUUAAAUAGUUUGUGGAUUGAGACUUUUAUGACCUUUAUUACAAUUAAGUUGAGGUACUGCGGCACUUCAAACUUAAGGUACUUAUCAAGAAACUUCAUGUCCGAUCUUGAGGAUCUAGGGAUUUCAUGCCUGAUCUUUUUGCAUGAUGGAACUUCGGGUUCAAUCAUUUUAUGUGAUGAGGAUCAAGAAACUUCAGGUUCUGAUCUGAUCAAGGAACUUUGGGUCUUAUAUAUACUUAUCGUAACAAAAGGUAAGUACAAUAAAUAAAUUAAAGCAAUAGGCAGUAAUUCCAGACAUAGUAAAUAAAUUGCAUUUAAGUAAAUAAAGCUUGUGACAAGGGCUUUAAUUUAACACCAUUCAUAUAAAUCAAAACUUAAAGCAGUAGGCAGUAAAACUGUCCAUGAUAAAUAAAUUGCUUUAAAGUAAAUAGAACUUGUGAAAGUGUUUUAAACCAACACCAUUCACAUAAAUAAAUAUAUAUAUAUAUAUAUAUAUAUAUAUAUAUAUAUUUUCUUUCUUUUCUAAUGGUACAACACCAUCCAAAAGCUUUUAUGUCACAUCCCGGCCUGGGGUGGACCACUUCCCAGGCCCGCUCCACCACCGUAGCACGAUAUUGUCCGCUUUGGGCUUACCACGCCCUCACGAUUUUGUUUCUGGGAACUCACGAGCAACUUCCCAAGGGGUCACCCAUCCUGGGAGUGCUCUGGCCUCAUUCUCGCUUAACUUCGGAGUUCCUACGAAACCUAAAGCCAGUGAGCUCCCAAAAGGCCUCGUGCUAGGUAGAGAUGAGAAUAUACAUUUAAGAAUUACUCCCCUAGGUGGGUGAUGUGGGAUGUUACAUUUUAUCUUUUUUGUUUUUAUUAUUUCUUUUUCACAUGUUGUGUCGGCAUUAUGCAACAAGAUUCCACCCUUUUUUCAUAUAGCACCAAAACCCUUUUUAUUAUUUUUCAUUCAAAUGGUGCAGAUGCAUCAUUAGAAACCUUUGUCCAAAAAGUCCACUUUUCCAAUUCUUUUUCACACGGUGCUUGAAACACCAUUCCAUAAUCCCUCCUUCAUUUUUCUUAUUUGUCUGUCUGUACUAGUCUUAAACCCAGGGCCAUUUGGGUUGUUGUGGAGGUCACACAGAACCUAUUCAAUCCAAUAAGGCUACCAGAGACUGGCGUUAUUCUUGCAUGGCCCAGAGAACAUGGCGUCAACAAAGCAAGAACUUCCCUAUAGGGACAUAGAUGAUAGCGGAGUUGAUGGAGGUACAAGAGAGGGAGGCAUGUGUGGAGUCAGUCAUGCCAUCACCAUCUCAGACAACCGAUUAUUCAUGGGAGUUCUCGAGAUCUGUCAAAAACGACGCUAUCUGGGUUUCCAAGUCUGAUGAGAUUCUUCUGGAUCUCUGGAAACCAAUUGUCAAGUACGAGUUUUCUCAUCUCGUGACGACUUCAGGUCGUUGUAAAUUUCAAUUCUUACUGGAAUUUGGUGGGGCGCUUCAGGCGCAGUGGAGAGACAGAAAAUGGACAUACCUUUUAUUAUGUGAUAUUUUGGCUAGCAGAGGUAAGAGGUAGGUAACGCUUUACCAGAUUUAUGGCGUUGUGCUUUCCAUUGACAUGAGAGCUUCUCGUGCUGAUAACGUGUUGUAAAAUCGACGGUGGGUGCAGUGGAAUAAAUGAAACAAGACAAAAAAUUUACGAGAUUCCUCUACAGUUAGUGUGACUGGAGUACGUCCUCGGGGCAGCAGUUGUGCUUUCAUUAUAAUUUAGAAUAAUAGGAGUACAAAGAUAACUUUCUCUAUUAUCUCCUAUCCUCUUCCUCUCCUUUCUCUCUUCCUCUCUUUUUCUCUCAUCAUUUCUUCCUUCCUAUCUCUCUGUGAGUCUUCCCACUUUGAUGUUGUGUGGGGUUUGUAUUUGUAUAGAAAAUGGGAGUAGUGUGUAGCAAGCUUCAACAACCAAAAGGAAAGGCCAAUUAUUUAAUUAUUUGAGUGGACAUACACUGUUCUACAACAUAACAUGGUAUUUAGAAAUUUUCCCUUUGAUACCUGUUGGCUACGUGUGCCAACGUGGGACUUCCAGACAUCAUUGAUAAUCUCGGAAGGGAGAAAUUUUUAAUUGUGAUAUGAACAUGAGUGGUACAUCAUGUGUUUUUAUGUAACUGAUGAGAAAUUUUACUUUUUAAGUUAGUAGCUUUUUAACACACAUAUCCCACUAUUUGUAUAAUGACACGUGGUGUACCACCUCGUGUGUUGGUCACAAUGAAAAAUCUAUUGAAGUAAGGGGUAUUUCCCCCUUUUUUUUCUCUCGAAUUCUCUCUAUAAAAACUAAACCACGGCCGCCACUUUUCUUAUCCCCCAACCGCCGAUCUCGUCACAGUUUGGUAUGAACCAAAUGGAUUUCUUUUUAAAACAAAUCGACAUGACUAUGAAUAUAUCAGCCGACUUGAAGGAUUCGAUGGUCACAUACAUUAUUUGAGUAUAUUAUGUGUGUGCUUUUUUUUUUAUUGGUGAAUUAUCAUGUGUGUGCUUUAAGUAAUAGUUGGAUCACCUGCAAAGAACUCUAUGGUCUCAUUUUCUAGAAAGUAAUGACAACUAUCAUGCAUAAGACUAAAAGCAACCACACAAAAGUCUUUUUAGCCACCCACAAGUCGAAAACUACUAUUGUGCAUGUCACAUAAGCAAAAUUUUCACUCUUCCAACUUUCUAGCCAAUCGUGCAAAUUAUUGGUAAAUUUGACGGUGAUCGCAUUAACCUUCUCUUCAAUGCAUGACAUGUGGAAAAAAUCAUCAUCAAACAGAAGUUUGAUAUUAUGCACGUGUCCCAUCUUUAUUUGCGCGUUUGUGUUUGUUUUUUAUUUCAAUAGGUUGAAGAAAAAAAGCACUGGCUCGAGCAAGAAGGCUGCAAGGGUCCGAACAAGCUUAAGAGGCUUGCAAGUUGCAAGUACCUUCUUCGUUUUCAUGUAUGUUUCGCUUUUACUAUAAUUUAGUUUUUCUAGUUAUAAUUGUAUAAAUUUUUCGUUCAAUUUAAUAUAAAGGUUCAGCUCAAAAGUUUAAGAUUUAUAAUCCACUUUGUUUCGAUUUUUGAUCUCUUGGUGUUUCAAAGACAAAAAACAACACACGAUCCACAUAUCAAUAAAAGGCUUUUAGUCCAUUCCCAUUUAUAGAAUUUUGCCGACUCUACUGCUGUAAAAGGGGCUUAAUAGUGCAAAAGUACGAAACGAAACAAAAAGAGGAAGGGCGAGAGAGAGAUGCAAUUGGGUAUUUGUCGGAUCGAAGCUCUUCCAUACCCUUCCAUUAUCUCCACCGACUCCUUGACUAAAAGAGAGUGUUUUUUGUCUCAUUUUCUCAUCAUAGCUAAAGCUAGAAAGUAUGUUUCAUAUUUUCCCUGUCCGCAACUGGGAUUAGGAGAAAGAGAUUGAGAGAACAGAGGUUGAUCUAAAUCAUCAAACACAAGCAUAUGCCUGAUUCCAUUUGUCAACUUACAAUUUGAAUAGCUUGGGUAACGAUUCUGUUGACCCUAAAAACUAUCAGGUCUACGUGGCCCACAGACCGAGUAAUUAAUAAGCUAACUACGUCAUUCGGUUAUGUGCAGGGCGUGCCAACUCGACGGCCAAGCUCGAUCGGGGAGUAAAAUGUGUUGUUGUGUUGGGCAUUGCUGACUUCUUGAUCCUGCUAUUGCGGCUGAGGUAGAAACACAUCUAACCUUUUGGGUUCCAGAGCUUGAAGACACGGCUGCUAGUUCUGUGAAUUUACAAAUCGUCAGCGUCGGGUUCGGUCAUGGUGAUUAUAUUCGUAAUAGUAUAACCACACCGAACUAGCACCAGACUAUAUGGACACAAGUACUCGAAAGUGACGUAUGUCUUGAUAGUAAAUGUGGUUCAACCGUCGGAAUGUCGGACUCUGAAUCUCACUUGCGAAUAUCCAAUCAUAAAACAACUCGGCGUUCAAUGUGCCGAGCCUAGUAACCUGUAACACCUCACUUCGUUGAGAAGGUUGAUGAGAUGACCUCUACCAGCAAGAACUCGAAAGUCACUAUCGACCGGGACUUGGAUAAAUAACCAGUAGGUCUCGAAGCAGUGCUGUUUAUCCAAACUGAAGGAGGUGCUCCUCGGUCGGUUGAUUCUACGGCUCCAGUACUGUGCUACAUUGGUUCUGUUAAUAAAGCUUCUUGGUUUCGGUGUUGUGCAGGUUGAAUGGUAAGAAGAUGUUGAGAUUGUUGACGGGGAAGCGUCUGGUUUUUGUAGGCGAUUCUCUCAACAGGAACAUGUGGGAGUCUUUGCUAUGUGUUCUUAGAAACUCAGUGGAUGAUAAGAACAAAGUCUAUGAAGUUUCUGGUAGGCAAGAAUUUCGCACAGAGGGCUCUUACUCCUUUGUUUUCGAGGUAUGUUAGUUUCAAUUUCAUAGACUCAUAAAUUCUUCCUUCUUACCUUUCGGCCUUGUUCAUCUUAUUAAGUAAUAUUAAUGUAUUUGUUGUUCAAUGGAUCAAUAGGAGUACAACUGUUCCGUGGAGUUCUUUCAAUCACGGUUUCUAGUUCAAGAAUGGGAGAUGCUGGAACCAAGUGGAUCAAAGAAGGAAACGCUUCGCAUUGAUUUGAUUGAGAGAUCCUCUGACAACUACAAAAAUGCAGAUGUUCUCAUCUUCAACACAGGUCACUGGUAGACUCAUGAGAAAAACUUCCAGCGGGUAAUUCUCCUGCUCCAAUUCACUCUAUGUCAUGGAUUUUUUGGAAAGUAGUCACUAGGCAGCGAAGUUAAAAUAUUUAUAAAUCUUGCAGGAAGGGUUACUAUCAAGAGGGUAGCCAUAUUUAUGGUGAACUGAAUGUUGACGAUGCAUUUCGCAAGGCUUUAACGACAUGGGCUCGAUGGAUAGACACCAAUGUAAAUCCUAAGAAAACUGCUGUUUUCUUCCGGGGCUAUUCACCUUCUCACUUUAGGUACAUUUUGAAGACAUGAAAUACUUCAACUUGGUUAACAAAUGUAUUGCAUCUUGCUAAUCUUUUUACUCACAGAGGCGGAGCAUGGAAUUCUGGAGGGCAUUGCCAUGGCGAAACAAAGCCAACUACCAGCUUGGAAUCCACGGAAUAUGGAGGAGCGUAUCCAACAAACAUGAAAAUCUUUGACUCGGUACUCAAGGGGAUGAAGACGCCAGUCAACUAUCUGAACAUUACAACAAUGACUGAUUUUCGGAAGGAUGCUCAUCCAUCGAUUUACAGAAAGCCGAAUUUAACUGAGGAGGAGCGAAAACCGCCUAUGAUCCACGAUUGCAGUCACUGGUGCCUCCCUGGCGUUCCUGAUACAUGGAACGUGCUAAUAUAUGCUCAACUCCUCAAACAUAACCAGAAACAACAUAGACAGAAGAAACAGCAAAAUCAGAGGACAACUUCUUAAAUAUGGAGAAAAAAAAUUAUAAAGUAUACAUGUUUUGUUGGAAAGCUCACCGUACGGAGAAUAUCGAACAAGUAUGAUCAAACGAAGGAUAAGAGCAAUAGUUGUAGACUUGUAGUUAGAAAAAGAGGUGGCGCAAUGUGGUUUAGUGAAAAAUUGUGUUUCCAGUUGUGGGAUAGAGGUGGUGAGGGAAACAGGAUUUAGCCCUUGCGUCCUCUCUGGUGCAUUUGAAGGAGAGGCUUGAAAAAUCGGUGACUCGAAACAGCGAGUGCCGGUGAUCAUGGUGGUCGCAGAAGCUGGUUUUGGUAUUGAGAAGGUCAUGAAUAUAAAAUUCUGGUAUGGUACUGGUUUAACGCCACAAUGUGCAGUUGUGGUUGCAACUUUAAGAGCCUUAAAAUGCCUGCAUGACUGAGACUGUGGCUGAAGCCGGUUACAUGAAAUUUUCCAGGCAUGUCUCAAACACGAAACACUAGAGUGUAAGCGUGGUUGUUACUGCAAACAAAUUUUCGAUUGAUAGUGAAGCAGAACUAAAUGCAGUCAGAAAUAUGCAGCAUUGUGCAGCCGGGGCAUAUGAGCACUUAAUUAUACUCAUCAUGCACUUUGUGGAAAAGAAGCGGUUAGUCACUUCAUCCCAUUAGUCUUAUUAUUGGCAAUAGGAAUUGGACAUCAAUUUCUUGUAUCCGAAGAAAUGAGUCACUAUUAAUAUCGACACAUAUGAGAUCGCCAGCCCUUCGGGAGUUCCUCUAUUUUCUUCUUGCUUGCAAGUGCCUUCGCCUAUGAGCGGUAGGUCUCGGGUUCGAGACUUGGGAGCAGCCUCUCCAUAAAUGGGGGUAAGGCUAGCCGACAUUCACCUCUCCCAGACCUUGUGUAAAGCGGGAGCCUUGUGCACUGGGUACGACCUUUUGCAUUGCAGAUCCUACUAAAACUUUCAAUCCCAGUUUUAUACUGUGGUUGGAACAACGAGCACAAUGCCGGAUUUUCUGACUAGGCCUCGCUUCUAUCACAUUGAUCUUGACACCACCUAUCGGAAAUUAGGUUAUCAGUCUUGCUUGAAAAUCAAUGUAUAUGGCUCUCAUAUGCUCACCGAAGCAACAUUUUCCGACGUCCAUCAAACAAAAGCCGGCCACCAUCUCUUCCCCCUUACAAAUUACACUUCUGCAAACUUCUGUUAUUGUGCUCUUUGAUUGUUAUGUCAGUUUUUUGCAUUACCAAAUAACAAUGUCACAAAUAAAAACAAAUUUUUGUGUCACCUUUUUUAGCUUGCUACGAACAAAUGCUGUUAAAAUUUUACCACAUUAUAAUUUCCUCUUUCAAACAUUGACUCCACUCUUUUUUUAACUAUUAUUAAGGAGAGAGAAGACUCGAAACUAUUACAUUAAUUUAAGAGAUGUGGAGUUUCAAACCCGAAAUGCAUGUAGGGUUGGAAGCUUCUCGGGUUCGAAACAUCGAAUCCACUCUGCAUGCCACUUUUACUACGAAAAAGGCAACCACUUUAAUUUUGUUUUAUUAUCAUUCUUGGCUGUUCAUGAUUUCACUUUAACUACAUAACAUUUAAUUGAUAAUUACUCAAAUCAAAAAAAUAUUGGUUCAGUGUUAGAACAUUUAUCUUGGUAUUCUAAUGAAAGAAAAAAAUAAUUGAACUCAUACUGCUAUCAUAUUUAUGAUAUGGAUAAGUGUGUAUAAUACAUGUAUAUAGAAAUCAGACAACUUAAAUUUAAUAUUUAUAACACUACUGAUACACUAAUGUGAGUUUACUUCGUUAAUAUCACACUUAUGAGCGUAAUAUAUCACAAUCAUAAGUUCAAUAUAUUGCUAUCAAACUCAAUUUUUUUGACCAACUGCAAUGCAAGAGUGUGACUCCUAUAUAUGUAAAUAUAGGGAUGUGAUAUCUACACACCCUUUUUUACUUCUCUCACACCCUUUUAAUUUUCGGCCGUCGGAUCGGAUGAAUUGAAGAAGAUUAAAUGAAAAAAAUUAACAAGAGGUGUGAGACCCUGUAAAUAAAAAAAGGUGUGAUAAGAUUGUUAAUAAAUGGAUAUACUGUUAUAAACGAAUGAAUUGGUAAAAUUAUCAAAUAAUGUGUGGUCACGCAAAAAAAUUACUCCAAAUCAAAGUGAGAGGGACGUGAGAUAUUUUUCUUACAAAAAAAAAAAAAAUAUGCCACUUGUUCAUAAAUUAUUAUUACAUCUGCAUUUGUUUUUUAUGUUCAAUUACAUCUGCAUUCUUAUAUUCAAAAAUAGCAACUUUCAACCGUGCAAGUAGACUAAAGGUUGAUUUGAUAUUGCUGUUAUUUGAAAAAAAAUUACUUCUGUUGUAUUGUGAGAAUAAAUAGUUGUGAAAUAAAGCAGUGUUUGGUAAACUUUUUUUGUAAAAAUGCUUUUGAAAAAAAAAAGCAGUAUUAUAGUAUUUAAUAAACUUUUAUGUAAAACAGAUAUAAAAAAAAGUUGAUUUUUCAAAGUUGGGUUUUGCAGCUUUGUGUUUUUGAUUUUUUUUCCACUCAAAACUGUGAAAAAAAACAAAAACCAAAUGUUUACCAAAUAUAAAAACAUUUUUUGAUAGCCAUUUUUUUUUCACAAUUACCUCAAUACAAAGAGCUAACCACCAAACUGAAAAGUGGUCUUCUUCACAGCAGAAACUGUAUGGAAAAUUAAUUCUUCCACCCACACAGGUCACAGGCUCGCAAACAAUGGCGGAUUACUCAACCCAGACAACCCCAAAACCCACAAAGCACCACCACUCCCCCACAAUCCCAAGACCAGAGGCCUUCUCCAAGCCCUCUCUUUCUUCCCCAAUCUUCUUCCCCUCCAGAAGAACCGCCGCCUUUGCCUAUGGCUUCUCGUUCGUCUGCAUCGCUUGCACUUUCUUCCUGGUUUUCAACCCAUCUGGCUACUCUUUCCCUUUCGGCUUCAAGAACAUCUUCAAAACCCCUUUUGAACUUUCCCGGGAAACCCCAUUUUCCUGGAAAGCUGAAUAUUUCCCGCGUUUGGAUGAGAGUGUAGGUUUGCAGUCUGAUAUGGCUAGUGCCCAACUGCCGAACCCAAUUCUUUUCUUGCCCCAAGAAUCCAAUCAGACUUUGUCCCAGAACACUACGAUUCAAGUAACUGGGAAAAUGGGAUUUUCCGGGAAACUGGAGGGUUCAAAGAAAAAAUGAAUCUUUUGCUAAAGAUUCUGAUGGGGUUUUGGGGCAAGCAGUGGCAUUGACCUCGAAAGAGAGUGAUGAUGCUAGUGAGGCAUUGUCUGAAUCUGAGAAGCAGAGCAAUCAAACUCAGCCCGGUUAUGAAUUUUCGAGGGAUGAUUGUGACCUGUUUGAUGGAAUGUGGGUGAGAGAUGAUUCGUAUCCGCUUUAUGCUCCGGGUUCUUGUCCUCUUAUUGAUGAAUCCUUCAAUUGUUUUCUUAAUAAGAGGCCGGAUAAUCGCUACGAAAAGUAUAGAUGGCAACCCAAACAUUGCAAUCUUCCAAGGUGCAGGGCUGUUUUUACUUCUGAUUUAAAAGCAUGUUUUGUUUGUACAUUGCAUUGCAUUUGGUUUUGCUUCUAAAUUAAGGUAAUUUUGCAUGACUAGUUCGACUUCUAAAGUUAGCAGUUUUAGGAAUUUGUGCUUGUUAUGGUUGUUUUUCAUAAGUGCAAAUUUACUUGUUUGCAAAUUAAUCUUGUGAGGAUCAAUAUAACAAUUACUUGUUAUGACAGUUUAAAAUUCACACUGAAUUUCUGUUUUUAAAAACAACGGAGUUUCGUUGUGUGUACUAAUGUGUCUGCGUGUGUAUGUUUAUGUUUUAUGCUUAUGCAUUCGUGUAUUGUUUUUGUUGAAUAAAGCUUGUUGGUUCAGAUUUGGUGAUGCCGGUUUCUGGUGAACUUUUUGUGCAGGUUGGAUGGUAAGAACAUGUUGGGACUAUUGAGAGGAAAGCGACUGGUUUUUGUUGGGGAUUCUCUUAAUAGGAAUAUGUGGGAGUCUUUGCUUUGUCUUCUUCGAAAUUCAGUGGAUGAUAAAAGUGGAGUUGUUGAAGCGUUGGGUAGGAGCGAAUUUCGUUCAGAGGGAUCUUACUCUUUCGUAUUCAAGGUAUGUUCGCUAUCUUGGAAUUCAAGGUAUGUUCUCUGACUUGGAAUUCAUAGCCUGAUAAAUUCUUCCUUCUCUCCAUUGGAUUUGUGUCGUUGCUGAAUUUCAUUUUGACCAGAGUGAAUUAGAUAGUUCACAACACUAGACCAGAUAUAAUUUGCUAAUGACUUGAGAAUUCAAACAAGUAGAAAUAUUUACGUGUUUUUUUUUUUCUGGAGUGGAUGAAUAGGAGUACAAUUGCUCAGUGGAAUUCUUUCGAUCGCCAUUUCUAGUUCAAGAAUGGGAGAUGGCAGAUGCAAAUGGAUCAAUAAAGGAAACGCUUCGCCUUGAUUUGAUUGAGAGAUCCUCCGAUAAGUACAAAACUGCAGAUGUUCUCAUCUUCAACACAGGUCACUGGUGGACUCAUGAGAAAACUUCCAGAGGGUAAAACUCAUUCUCCCUCUCACUCUAUGUCAUUAAUUAAUUUUCGGAACUCGGAAAUACUAAACGAAUAUAAGAAUCUUGCAGGAAGGGUUACUAUCAAGAGGGUAGCUACAUCUACGAUGUAUUGAACGUUAAAGAGGCAUUUCGGAAAGCUUUAACAACAUGGGCAAGAUGGGUGGAUACCAACAUAAAUCCUGAGAAAACUAUUGUUUUCUUCCGGGGCUUUUCACCUAAUCACUUUAGGUACAUAGACCACAUCCAGUACUUCUUAACUUUUAAAACCUCACAGUUCGUUCACAAAUAUACAGCAUCUUCAUAAACCUUUUACCCUUUGCAGAGGUGGAAGAUGGAAUUCGGGAGGGCAAUGCCAUGAUCUAAUAGAGCCACUUGCAAAGGAGACAAAUAGAGGAAAAUAUGCAUCAAAAUUGAGAAUAUUUGACUCAGUAAUCACUGGAAUGAAGACGCCAAUAUUCUAUCUAAACAUUACGAGAAUGACUGAUUUCAGGAGGGAUGCUCAUCCAUCGAUUUACAGAAAGCAGAAUUUUACAGAGGAGGAGCGGAAAUCGCCUUUGAGACACCAGGAUUGCAGUCACUGGUGCCUCCCUGGUGUUCCUGAUACAUGGAAUGAGCUUCUAUAUGCUCAGCUCGUUCGACAUAACCAGAAGCAACAACAACAGCAGCGUCAAGACCCACAGCAACAGAAACCCUAGAUAAAUGAUUAGACAGAUGCCUUGUAUAGAUGGGAUCAUGUCAAAAUAGUUUUGGAGAAAAUGUUUUCUGUUGCAUCUUUCUAUAGAAUUGUAGAAGGAAACAAAAUGAUGUGAUAUUCUUUGUAAAAUUGAGUCUCGGUAAUAUAAGCUGAUAAUAUCUUUUUGUGCAAAUGGAAGUAAGAUGAUAAUUGUGAGUUCUGUCAUAUGAGUUAGAAGAUGAGAUCGUUGCUCUCGUAGCCAUGGUCGUCACAACCAUCAUACGAAGCAAAAGCUUAACUAGGUUUACGAUUACACAACCUUAAUUAUUUCAAAUAAUGCUCAAUACCAGAGUAGCAGAAGAUACAUAUGUACGGUGUUAAACAAACAAACUGUUCCACAUGAAGCAAGUGAAUGAGAUCAGUCGGUAGACUCAGCACAGCCUUAGGAGAAAGGCUUAACUACCACCAAAUAGGCAAUGUGAUGGUAUUCCAAACUAAUUUCGCACUACAUGUGAGCGAUCGAUAUUUAUUUAGAAAAUAGUCACAAUGGCGUACACGUUGUAGCUGUAAGUCCUUCUCCAGCCCCGUUUAAAGAACACGUGAAAUAUGCAUAUAUGAAUCUCUACGGUGUGAAGGAAACAAAAUGCUCCAAUGUAGCAAGUGAGAUCACUCAGCACGGCCCAGGAAGAAAGACUUGCCUACACCGAAUGUGCACAUCUGAUCUGACCAUUGUGUUAAUUUAAUUUGUAGAAAUGAAACUAGGGGCUUAAAAAAUUGAGGAAUAUUCAGCAGCAUAAAGGUGAUGUUACCACUAGUUGUAGAAACAUGGGGGUCUUUGGAUUGUUUGAUGGAUGUGUUUUGAGUCAAACAAUUACUGGAAGAGCAUAGAAUUUCCGUUAUGUUGGUUUAUGAUUAACUUCUUUUGCAGGUUGGAUGGUAAGAACAUAAUGGGAUUAUAGUGAGGAAAGCGCCUAGUUUUUGUUGGUGCGUGAUUCUCUUUGAGGGAAUAUGUUAGAUCAUCCAUCGGUCUGUGUCUUGUUAGAAGUUCAUUGGAUGAUGAGAGCGGAGUUGUUGAAGCCUCUCGUAGGAGCAAAUUUCGUACACAAGGAUCUUGCUCGUUCAUAUUCAAGGUAUGUUGUUGAGUUGUUCAUUAGCCAUUUCGUUACAAGCAGAGUGAAUGAGAAAGUUCGCACCACUGGAUACAAUUUGCUAUGACUUGAGAUUUCCAAUUCAAACAAGUAGAAAUUUAUGUUUGUUGUAGAAUGGAUCGAUAGGAGUAUAACCGUUCGGUAUAAUUCCUUUAAUCACCAUUUCUAGUUCAAGACUAGGAGAUGCCUCCUGGUUAACUGAGUUUUCUUCUGCCAUUCUUUGUGAGCUGAAAGAAACUCAAGAACAAGGACAUGCAGAGACUGCCUGAGGAUACCCGGUCUGAUACCAUGUGGAAAAAUGAUAAAAGUGUGUGUGUGUGUGUGUGUGUGUGUGUAGAUAUUCAAUAACAUUUCAAUUAUAUGUCACACUGAUUGGAGGACGUUUAAGUAGCAACAAGGAGAAGAUGUACACACCACAACUUUCUCCUUAAGUUAACCUUGACUGCAGGAUUUGUACAAACAUCCAUGAAUUAAGGCAAAUGAUUUCGGGACUAAGAGUGAAACAAAGAAAACCCGAGUUUCCAUGAUAUAAGCUGAUAAUAUAUAUCUUCUUCAAAUAUAUGUGGUUGAUUAUAGUGAAUUCGAUCUGUCUUUUUUCAAGUUUACCGAGAAAAGUGGACUAGUAGCCAUAGAAGCUCAAAGAUGAGCUCGGUACUCGUAGUCAUGAUCAUCACCAUCAUCACAUGAAGCAUCAAGCUUAACUAGUUUUACAUAACCUUAAUUAAUUUAAUUAAUAUUCAGCUACCAAAGUAGCAGCUGAUCCAUAUGAAUCUCCAUUAACCCUACGGCAGUUCAAUCGAAUCUCUCCAUCAGUACCGGUCAAGGGGCUUAUAUUCCCCAUUUUAAUCAUGGAUUCCACGAAACUCUCAAAGAAUGCGCUCUGAUUAGUGCUGAAGUUGUUGACAACGUCGAUGGUAUCAGCCCCGCUAGUUGAAAACAGCUCUUGAUCGCUUUGGAGCAAGCCUUUCUGAACUUGAAGAUUUGAGAAAUAAUUUGCAUCAAAAGUGUCGGGAGUUACAGGAUCAAAAUUGGUUAGCACACUGCUAUUCCCAUUCUGCGGGCAUAUCUCACUCAGUGUUUCUAAGUAGGUUGAGUUCAAGGUUGGAUCAGGACUGCCUGUGCCGCUGAAGUUAUACAAUCGAUUGGUGAAAGAUUGACAUCUAGCACGCCCAAAUGUGUGAGCACCUGUCAAUUUUACAUGUCAAAUUUUGUUAAUAUAAAAAUAAAGCAACAUAGUGAGGAUAUUUUUUUUAAAAUUUUUUGUAGCCCUGCGAUCUGCUUGCUUACCAGAUAGUGCAACCAGAUCAGUGGUGUUGAGGCCUACAGCUAAGAAGUUGGCCUUGAGUCCAUCAAGUGUUAAAGUAGGAGCUGGAAUGGCUGCGUUGGCAGCCGUGCGAUUCGCUGUUAAGCUAUCCCUUCUUCCUAAUAGCACUGUCCAUGAAGGACCUCCAGACUGUAACCAUAGAUUAAUUACUCAAUUACAAUAUCUCACGAAACAAAAUGUUUUAAAUUGUUGUUGAAGCUUGAAAUAUAUACCAAAGCAACAGAUUCUUCGGCAGCAAUGGUGAGAAUAUCAGCACAGGAAACGAUGGCGGGACAAGCAUUCUCCAAUGCAGUCUUCAUACUGUCCACAACAUCAAAUCCUCUGGCUGAGUUGUUAUUUGCAAAUGCUGUUUUUUCGCUGUCUAUGGUACUGGUAGAACUGGUACUAUUGUCCAACAGAAUUGAUCCAUCGCAACCCUGAAAUAGAAUCAACAAGUUCUUUUCAUCUCAAAAUUGCACGUUUGGAAUUUUACUUCUUCUGAAGUUCUAUAAACAAAGAAGCAGCUGUUAAUAAAAGCACUUUUGUGCUUAGGCAUUGUUCCGAAGUCCUGUAACAUAGAAGCUGCCACAUAUACAAAGUAAUCUUGGUUGGUAUUUCAAAGUUGAAUAUGUUGUUCAGCUUAAAUUUUGAAGAACUAAAGCAUUGCAUCUGAUACUAUGAUAUAUUUUCAGGGAAAUUAAUAUUAAUUCCAUAUGGUAAAAGGAAAAGAAAACAUGGGCAGAUCUUUUUGUGCUCCAAGUACAAGUUCUAUUGCUACAUUUUAAUUAAAAGGGUCCUUUACAACUACGCCCGUCAAAACCGUUGAGAAUGAGUCCUACAUUGAUGGAAAGAGGGAACUUGUAUGGACUUAUACAUAAGUUGGUUUAUUUCCCAUAUUGCCAAUUAAUUUUAUGAUGAAACCUUAACUUUCUUAAAAAGCUAUCUUAAAUAGUCAAAGCACUUAAAUCUCCUUGCACUAUACACUAAAUAAGCAUAAUACCAUAAUCGUACUGGUGCACUGACUACCGAGGCCAUUCUUAAAACCAAAAUGCUGGACUGGAAUUCGUGAUAACAACACCGGCCAAAGAAAGAUUUGUAACAAACAAAGGGAUCAGAAGCAAAGAAGUGAAUUAUACGUUGACAAAGCAAUCGUGGAAGUGAAGCCGAAUGAGGCUGGCAGCAAUCCGGGGAUCGGUCUGCAGAGCCUCUUGAAUGACUCCACGCACAAUGCUGGUGGCAUUCGGGCAUGAUUCAUCAUAAAACGUAGGAGUCAACUGAGCAUCAACAGAUCCUGCACUUGCACACAAGAUUAGUAAUAUUACAAACAUAUAUUUGUAACAAAAUUGAGCGCUACAAGAAGAAUGCAUCUUCUUAGGUGGUAAUCGAUUUUUCUAACUUAUGUGCAUCAAUGCAUAUGUGAGCCAAUUAGUAGGCCUAUUUAUGGAGUGACAGAAAGUGGAUUGGCACCAAACUGACAAGCUUUAUUGGAUAUAAAAAUGAAAGGCGUGCGUUAGGUAGAUAAGUCGAACAUGGAUUUUAAAGUUCUAAUUUAACUUUGAUAAAUAAAUAUCUAAGCCCUUUUACCCCUUUACAACCAUGCAGAUACGCUGGAAUCCAGAAUGUGGUCCCUGGAUGCAAUAUAAUCUGCCAUGUGAAUGAUAAAAUGUUGCGCCGGGAAAAGUUGAGGUUUCAAUUCAAAAAGCACCUAAUAAUUAGAGGCGUAUUGAAAUUGAAGUGUGUGCAGAUAAAAAAAAAGUUUUUUGGUCAAUAUUGUAUCUUGAUUGAAAUUCAAGCUCCACAUUAGAAAACAAUGAAAUAACUAUCACUGCAAGAAAAUGAGACAAUAUUUGUAAAUUAUCUUUUCUUAUUGAAAAAGAAAAUGAGAGUAAUUCUAACAUUAGUUGAAAUAAAGAAGUAUUAGAGAUAUCGUUGCUCUAUUAAUUACACAAAGAUGUACAACAUCUCUAGAAUUUAACGUAUAUAUACCGGGAUAGGAUCAAUGGACAAAUAUUUUUACACUUUUUAUAAGCUCUUGGAUAUUUAUUUACAUCUAAUGCUUCUAGUUAAGGUUAAGAUGCUACUAAAUGACGGCAUUGCUUCAGGUAAAAUAUUUGAUAAAGGAGUUUCAUGACGUUAAACUAGGUCCAGCCUUCAUCUUCCUCCUCUGCCAUUUAGGUCAAUAACUCUCCAACAGCAAAAAAUAAAAGGUCUGAAAUAUGCCAUUGACGAAAUUCAUCUUUAUCUUUAUUGCAGUGAAUAUUUCCUAACAUGGCUAUAUAAUACCAUUUGUAUGCCAAGAAAAAAAAAAGCUAAAAGCAAAUCCAAACAAGAAUAUAUCCCAUUCCGAAAAUUUAUUCUAUCUCCAAAGAAAAUAUGGGUUGCCUUCCUCAUUCAAUUAUAAUUUUCCUCGUGAAAUAUAUCCAAUUAACCAUCAUAUAUCAUAUGGUUAUUUAUUUUGUAGAAUUUUGUUGUAAAAAAAUCCAUGUGAUAAACAUUUUACAUGCAUAUAUGAUUAUUUGUUUUCUAGUUUUUGUUGCAAAAAAUCCAUGUUACAUGCGUAUUGUGAUGACUUACCACCAAAGCAUUAAUGGAGGGCUUCCUCCCUCCUUGUUUUUUUCUUUUGCUUUCCUCCCAAUUUUAAUUUGUUUGCAACAAUAUAUUAAAUAGCAAACAAUAAACUACUCAACAUUGUAUCAUUAAUCACAUAGUUGGAAUUUAAGUGAAUCUCCAUCCCCCAAUCUCCAUAGAUGUACUAGACUUUGGCUGCGAAUCCACAAGAUCAGUCAAAUAGGCUUCUAGGGUUUUUGUUGUUUGAGCGAAAUUCCCAGUUUUAAUCUUUAUUUGUUUAUAUAUUAUAUUAGUUAUAAUCCAUGUCAUCAUUCAUGUUAUUUAAGACUAAAAACCUCCACAUUAAUCUUAAUCAAAACCUUUGGAUGUUAUAAAAUUUAAAAGUUCAAAAGAAAUAUUAAUGUAAAAAAUAUUUGUCUCUUGAUCGUAUUCCACAUGUACAUGAGUUAUUUAUAUAGAAAUUUAAACUGAAUAAGCAAAACAUGACUAACAUCUCUAGAAAUUUAACCUUUCUACAAUAGCCACUACUUACUUUAAUUUAGUCCUGCAUCAUGGUCUGGUUUCGUGAUGUUAUAAGGGGUGUAACGUCAUUGCAACACAUACCAUGCCAUUAUUGAAGAUGAAAGGGUUUCUGAUGGCCUGCCAUGUCCUCCCCUCCAUUGAGUUUUUCAGGGCUUAGCUAGGUGGGAGGUUUAAAGCUUGACCAUGUUGCUCUUCCCAGCUUUUCCCUCUUGCCUUUGUCCUUGGGAGCUGCUGUCUCUCUAUUUUUUGCUCCUUUUUUCACGUUCUGUUUUUGUCGUUAGCUUGGUUUGGUCCGUAUUAUGUGACCUCUCCUAGUUGUUGUGGGAUUUUUUACAAUAUUCCGAAAUAUGAGAUAUCUUGAAUGUUUUAAUUUUUGUUUAAAAAAAAAAAAAAAAAAAAAAAUCUAACUGUUAAAACAUUCGGAGUUCUAUACUCCAAAGCACCCUAAAAUUUUUGUUUGUUGUAUGACUUGGGAUUUGUGCCUUUUUUCCGAUAUUCUCUACGGACUCCAUGAACAAACUUUACAAUUUCCCCCUUCCAUCACAAGAAUACUACAGAAAUUAGACAAAUAAGGAGAGAUAUCAUGCUAACCAAAGAAAAUCAUAACUUAAUUACACAUACGAUUACCUCUAAUCCAUGUCCAAAGUACACUAAUAGGAGCAGUCAAAUUACUAAAAAUCUGGAUAAUUAAAAUGAUAUAAUUUCUAAAAUAGCCCAGGGGUAUAUAGUGUGUUCGAAAAAAUAAAUUCACAAAGCAUAGCUUUAAAGUUGCCACAUACUCAUCACCACAAAAAAAAGAAAAAAAAAAGAAAAGGAUUAUAUGGAUCAAAGUCAAUGAACUUAAAUUGAUAAGUAAGUUUUAAGAUUAAACAUAAUAAUUUUCAUAGGAAUUGGUUCUGUAUCGAAUUAUCACAAAAAUAUAUGCCUUGACUUUAAAGUUUAAACUAGUGGGAAUUCGUAGUAUACUGAAAUAUCUUAGGAAUUUAUACCUCGACUUUAAACUAGUGUACUAGCCCCGCCCACAGAGUUGUGAGGGGUCUCUGGCUGCUUUUAGGUCAUGCAACAUUUCUACACGUGAAAGUGUAGUGCUAGCUUAACUUAAAGGCGGGACUAAAAGUCUUUCCUCAUAAAAAGGGGGCAGGCCCACUUAUCGAGUCUCACCUAAAGUAAGAAUCAUGCCUCAGGUGUCUGUUGGAUAAAUAUUAAUAAUCAAUAAUAAAUUUAUAUGUGUUAAUAAAUAAUAAAUACUAAUAAAUAAUUUAAGAGAAUAUGAAAAAAUCGAAAUAAUAUUAGCAGAUAAACUGAAGAUCGAGGCUUGCGUAAUGCAAUGUCUUUGAAACAAAAUUUUCGUCCCUACUCAAUACUUGUAGUUCUACGGAUGUCUGCUGUUUCACCAAGAUUCAACAAUCUAAGUUAGAAUUCCAACAUCGGAAAACUUGAUUUUUGGCGAAUUUCUUUGUGGUUCUCUUAGUAAGAAUGUUUGGGAUUGUAGAAGAAUUUUAUUUUUCUGUGUUCUAAAUACCAUGCAGAUAGAUGUCUAUAUAAUAAGCUUCACCAAGAUUCAACGAUCUAAGUUAGAAUUCCAGCAUCGGAAAACUUAACUUUUGACGAAUUCCUUUGUGGUUCUCAUAGUAAGAAUGUUUGAGAUUGUAGAAUUAUUUUAUUUUUCUGUGUUUUAAAUGUCAUGCAGAUGGAUAUAUAUAAUUUUAUUUUUAUGUGUUCUAAAUGACAUACAAAUGGAUUUAUAAAUAAUAAGUUUAUGAGUCCGUUGAUAUAUUAAUUAUAUUAUAUAUUAAUUAUCAAUUAAUUAGUACACCUCAAAGCUCAAUCUCAAGGUUGAGCCUAAUUUUCUUCUUCAUGUUCCAUCACUUGAAUCACUUUCUAUAAAAGAACAAAACCUUAUAAAGUAAGGUAACCUUUUGAUAGUGACCAAUGUGGGACAAUGAAAUUUCUACUUAAAAUUUCCAACAGUAUCCUUGUUAAGAGAGUUUCUUAGUACGUAUUGUGUAACAAACGGAGCAUAACUGUAAAAGGAAAAUAUAUAUCUCAUGAUUAUAUAAUUGGACGGUGAUUAGCUAGUCGAGUAUAUAUCUUUAUGGGUUAAUUACAUAAUACCCCCUUAGGUUUGAGGUCUAUUACAAUUCCAUACAACAUUUUAAAAACAUUUCACUUUCAUACAUAACCUACUAUUUUAUUUCAAUAUAGUACCUCUGUUACAUUUUCCAUCCAUUGAUCCAUUAAGAGCUGAUGUGGCAGCCACAUUUGUACCACAUGGCUGCCACCUAUGUGCCAAGUGGCAAAAAAAAUAAUAUUUAAAAAAAAAACCUGAAUCUUCUCAACCAAAAGAAAAAAAAACCAUAUCUUAUUCCCCGUGCCCUUCCCCUUCCCUGCAAUCCAAACACCCCAUCCCCCCCACCCAAAACCAACCCGUCUCCUACCUCAUCACCCAAAACUAGAACCACUCCCCCACCGCCGUCCUCUCCUCCUCUAUCUUCGAUUUGAGCUCCAUUUUAAAAAAUUCCUCCCUAAAUCGACCCAGACAACCACAAAAAGCAACGGCAAUAAAGGUUAUAAAACCUCAGAUCCCAUGCCAGAACGAGAUUCGGGAGAUGAUGGAAGAGGUCCGGCGGAGUAUGUUAUUCGUCUCGUCAAAGGAGAAGAAGGCGUGUACAGACGAGUGGGAGGAGGACAACGCAGGGUCGUUGGAGGAGAUGGAAUCGUUGAGGUCGGUGAGGCGAUGGUGGAGGAAGACGACGAAGGAGAGGUGCGUGUUGCACAACCAGGUCUUGAGGAUCAAAGAAGAUGACUCACAUCUCGGUGAGAGUACGGUGUCCAUCCUGCCAAAGGCGAUGAGGCGCCAAUAGAGGUGAGGCAGUCGGCGGCCCUGUGGGAUCUAAGGAGGAGGGCGCUAUUUUUAUGGGUGUGAGUUCUUCUGGGCGUCGGCUGUGGAAGGAGGGAGGUGGGGUGCAAGAGAGGGAGGUGAGUCGGAGGGGGGAAGAUGGGUUUUGGGGAUUAUAUAUAUAUUUUUGAUUUUUUAAAUAAUUUUUCUUUAAUUAUUUAUUCUUAAAUGUAUAUAAUAAAAAAAAUUUGCCACCUGGCAUAAAUUUGGUAGCCAAGUGGCACAAAUGUGGCAACUAUGUCAGCUCUUAACGGAUCAAUUGAUGGAAAAUGUAACGGGGGUACUAUAUUGAAAUAAAAUAGUAGGUGAGGUAUGAAAGUGAAAUGCUUUAAAGAUAUUGUAUGAGGUUGUAAUAGACCUUAAACCUGAUGGGGUACUAUGUAAUUUACCCUAUCUUUAUUGUAAGACAAUUUGCGUAUUUACCUAUUUAGUUCUGGAUUAGACAUGCAUGCAUGCACAUUUGUGGAAAAGGUUUGUUCGAAAUAAUUAAUGUGUUGAAAGGUUAUUUCGGAAUCUUGAAAUGCAUGCAUGGGAAGCAGCAGGGAGUACUAAAAUUAUAAGGGGGCGUUUGUUUGCCCUCACUAAGUGUUAUUGGAUUAGAUUGGACUAACUAUUAGACCAGUUGUUUGUUCCGUAGUGGUAUUAUGUUUAAUGAGAUUAAAGGGGACUCGCAUGGACAAACUCCUUCACUAGGAGUUCUUAGCGAGACCCCCCAUACCCAUGGGAUUGCUAAGACCUCGUCUGAUCUGUUUUCGUAUGCUCCCUCUCAUCCUUUUUCUGCUCUUUGUUCUCUUGAGCACCGACAACCACCAUCACACCACAACUCGCCAACUCUAGCAAGAUCACACCAACAGCCCACCACCACUCUUUCCCUCUCUCCUCACCUUGAACCCAGAAUUUCAAACUGAGGAAGAUCCCGCUCUUAUCGUUGUCCAUCCAACUCUAGCCGUUUGCUUCGCUGCGCUUUGAACUUGACCUCGGACUUGUCGGCUUCGCACAAUUGAUCGGAUCUUGUGAACCCAAUGGUGGGUGAGCCAUCCAAUGCGCUUGAAGGAAUAUGGGAGGCCAAAAACGCCAGAGCCACAGCGGCGUGUUCUCCGCCAAGGGCAAUGGCUUGGGAUUCUUGUUUUCAUUUGGUUUUGAUUUAAAUUGGGUUUUGAUCUCGAACUGGAUUUGAUGUGAUCUGGAAUUGGCAUUUGAUUUGCUCUGUAAUUGUUUGAAUGAUCUGUAAGUGUGGAAUGAAUUUUCAGGAGAGAAGAAGAGAAUUUAGAAAAAAAGAAAAAGAGACUAAAUAAUAAAAUAUUAAUAUAUAUUAGAUUAAAUAAUAUUAUAUUAGAAUAUGUUAUUAUUCAGUUUUUUAGUCCGACACUACACCAAACGCUUCAUUAAGUUAGUCCAGCUUAGUCUAGUAUAAGUCAGCCCAGCUUAGUCCAUGAAGCUAGUUCAGUCCGAAAUAAUGAUCAGGUGCAACAAACGCAUCCAAUAGUAUAGAAUUUGUUUCGUACUAAAGUCAACAAAGGCAUGCAUGCGUGUCUUCGGUUACUAGUACUAGCUCUUGGGCAAAUUUGGCAGUCUCUCUCAUCUCAAUGAGAGAGAACAUUGUCUAUGGGUCUUAAAUCCUGUUAUAUUAUAAUUAAUUGAGUUUUUUUAUUAACACCCCACACGUUGUUGAAUAUACCUUACUUUAAAAUGUAAUACUAAACAACUUGUAACUCUAAUAUGAAAUGACUAUUCGAGCCCUUAGAGUUACUCUUACUCUCCAUUGUAGAACAAAACCCUAAAAACACAAACAAGUUGAUGAAAAUAUAUCUUUUGAUGAAUGGAACAAAAAAAUUGAGUUUUGCUCCUCGUUCAUUCGUUGGUUUUCAUAUUCAAGAAAUUAUUUAAACAAUGGAAUAAAAAUUUGACUUUUUGCAAAGCCCUGCUCUAGUUGGAAUCCAAGAAAUAGGAAGAAAACUGUAGAAUGUUGUAAAAUUUUAAGAUGUAAUAAAUGUAAUAUUCUUGUGGUUGUUUGAUGAUGAAGAAAUUCAAUGUUUUUUGGCUGGUUGGAACUGACAUGACCUUAUAAGAACAGUUCAUACCAUUUGUCCUUCAGGUUUCUUAGAAUCCAAUGUGAUUGUUCAAGAAAAUUUGAUGGAUGUUUAUAAAUCAAACGACAAGAUGGAGAUUUUAUACAAUUUAAUUCAUCUUUCUUGUAAUGUGGAUUAUUCUAUUGUGUGAAAGAGAUGAAGAGUUUGACGUGUGGUUAAUUAGUUGAUGAUUGUGGGGGUGUGUGAGAUGUGAGGUCUGGGGUGUACGAGAUGUGAGGAUAGUAUUGGAAAAUAUGUGGCAUGUGUUAAAAAAAUUUAAUUUAAAAAGUAAAUAUAGAGUGUAUUAAGUAUGUGAGGUAUAGUCAACAAAUUGUGAGGUGUUAAUAAAACAAGCCUAACUUUUCAAAAGUGUAUUUAUUUUUUUAUAUAGAAAGUUUAGAGUGCAAAAUGAGAUUUUUAGAGUGUCAAUAACAAUUUCCUUAAUUGAAUAGAAAUUCUCUUUGUAAUUAUAGCAUGUAUUAUAAAAAUGUGAUUUUCAAUUGUAAUUAGUGUAGAAUUUCUACCUCAAUAGGAAUUAAUAUAUCGUAUAUAUAUUGUAAUAUUGUUCACACAUCAAUACAAAGAGUAAUUAUUCUACAUGGUAUCACUCGUCUAAGUUUUCUUAAGUCCUAGGUUUCUGCUCUCCCCUUCUUCCCUGGACGUCCCACCAUUAUUCCUCAUGGCAUCACCUUCUUCCUCUUUAUCCGAUCAAAACGCUGCAACCUUCCUUAAACUUUCUAUCACCAAGUAUAUUGUUUGGGUUAGUCAACUUAUCUCAUUGGUCAAGAUCUCUGGAAAUAUGUCUAUGGUUCUUCUCCCUCUCCCCUCCUUUCCCUAAACGGCCCCAUGUCUGCUUCAAGGCCCACGCCCUUCAUUCAGCAUCUGCGCCUGCCUCUGCUGCUUCAUAUGCGCCACAAUCUGGACCUGUGCCCGUGCCUAUUGGACCUUGUGCAUAUGCGCCACUAUUGGAUCCGUGUCCACCACACCUCCAACCAGCUCAAUCUCCAGGUCCGUGCCUCCAUAUGAGCCUGCUAUCGAUGAUCCUCCUCCACUGCUUCCUCGGCUGUCACGUCUACUCAUUCAAUGGUCACUUGCCGUACUAGAUGAGCUAUAGCAAGUUUUCUCCUCUUAGAUUUAAUUUUUACAGGAUGUCUGCCAUCCAAAUAGAUUUGUUGACAGUUUUAGCUUUCUCUCUGACUUCCUUUUUAGCCUAUGUAUCAUGGGUGGCAUGAAUUCAACAUUUUACAAACUAUGCCUACUUAUCACAAAAAUGUUCUUUCGUUAUGCUUAUAUUUCUUCGACCCUUCAGACAUAGUAGUUUCUUAGGUUUUAAACCUUGCAAUAUAUUUAGACAUGUUAAAGUCGCCAUCUUGUCCAUGGCUGGUCAAGUUUUAGAAGCAUAACAUCCUUCCAUUAUGUCGUCAUGAAUCCAGGUUAGGUGAUUCAUUUAUGUAUUCUUUCUAAAUUGCUUGAUACGAUACUAUUUACAAUAAUAUAAGCUAACUUGGAUAGUUAUUGAAUAUUUGUUUCUGGUUUCCUUCUCGAUGCUGAAGAUCUUCAUUCACAAAAGAAGUGAGCUAUGGAAGAGUUCAUGAUGGAUUGCUGCGAAGGAUUAGACAUAUACAUAUAUUUAUAUUUUUUUUGGGCAUUCCAUAUCUAAAGUUACCUGAUGCACAGGCCAUAAGAACCUGUGUUUUAUUAUUUUGUUUUUACUUUUUUUUGCAAUUGCUAGCACGACAACAGAGCUUGCAGGACAUGUAUUUUGUCAUGUUGCAUGCACAAACAAAAUUUAUGUGAACUGCGUGCUACUUUUAUUUCUGAUGCAAAGAAACUAUAUUUUAUCAUUGCAACUUUUGUUAAUAGAAACUUUCGAAUUCACCAUUUUGAUUGUAUAUUGGCUCUUGAUGUCAACUUAAUAGAAUGUAAAUGCAAACUGAACUACUUAUUUUACUGUUUCGAUUCACCUAUCUCUUGGUUUUUCAAUUAUUUGGAGAUGACCGUGUUAAUUUGUGGUUUUGUGGUAAUUACUCAAGUAAAAAUGUGCGUCGUCUAGAUUGCUGCAUUUGAAAAUGCGAGUAUGUUGUUGCUGCCAUUUGAGUGAUUUUUUUAGGAUAUUAUUCAUUGCUAUUGUUAUUAUAGUUUGAAAACGCCCAGCAGAGAGCGCUGACAGUUUUUCUAGUAAGUACUUAAGUUGUAAUUAGGGAAGGGGUGGGGUGAUUGCCUCAUGAUUGUUGCAUUGUAAAAUUCACAUUCAGUCUCUAGUUAAAAUAACACAAUCCUUCGAAAACCCUGAGAUCCCGUGAUAUAAGCUGAUAAUAUAUAUCUUCUUCAAAAUGGAUGUGAAGUCGAUCUGUCUUUUAUUUAAGUUUACUGAGCAAAGGGGACUAGCCAUAAAAGCUCGAAGGUGAGCUCGGUACUCGUAGUCAUGAUCAUCACAAUCAUCAUAUGAAGCAUAAGGCUUAACUACUUUUCCAUAACAUUAAUUUAUUUAAUUAAUUAGUACUCAGCUACCAAAGUAGCAGUUAAUCCAUAUGAUUCUCCAUUAACUCUACGGCAGCUCAAUCUAAUCUCCCCCUCGGUUCCGGUCAACGGGCUUAUAUUACCCAUUUUUAAUCAUGGAUUCCCCGAAAUUCUCAAAGAAUGCGCUCUGAUUAGCGCUGAAGUUGUUAACAAUGUCGAUGGUAUCAGCCCCGCUAGUUGAAAACAGCUCUUGAUCGCUUUGGAGCAAGCCUUCCUCGACUUGAAGAUUCGAGAAAUACUUUGCAUCGAAAGUGUCAGGAGUUACAGGAUCCAAAUUGGUCAGUACACUGCCAUUCCCAUUCAGUGGGCAUAUCUCACUCAAUGUUUCUAAGUAGGUUGAGUUCAAGGUCGGAUCAGGACUGCCUGUGCCGCUGAAGUUAUACAAUCGAUCGGUGAAAGUUAGACAUCUAGCACGCCCAAAUGUGUGAGCACCUGUUAAUUUUGCAUGCCAAAUUUUGUUACUAUAAAGAGAGGGAACAUAGUUAGAUAUAUUUUUUUUUGCAGCCGUACGAUUUGCUUGCUUACCAGAUAGUGCAACCAGAUCCGUGGUGUUGAGGCCUACAGCUAAGAAGUUGGCCUCGAGUUCGUCAAGUGUAAAAGUAGGAGCUGGAAGGGCUUCGUUGGCAGCCGUGCGAUUAGCUGUUAAGCUAUCCCUUCUUCCUAAUAGCACUGUCCAUGAAGGACCUCCAGACUGCAACCAUAGAUUAGUUACUCAAAUUCCAAAUCUCAUGAAACAAAAUGCUUUAAAUUGUUGUUGGAGCUUGAAAUGUAUACCAAAGCAACAGAUUCUUCGGCAGCAAUGGCGAGAAUAUCAGCACAGGAAACGACGGCGGGACAAGCAUUCUCCAAUGCAGUCUUGAUAUUGUCCACAACAUCAAAUCCUCUGGCCGAGUUGUUAUUUGGCACUGCUGUUUUUUCGCUGUCAAUGGUACUGUUAGGAUUGGUACUGUUGUCCAGCAGAAUUGAUCCAUCGCAACCCUGAAAUAUAAUCAACAAGUGUUUUUCAACUAAAAAUUGCAUGUUUUUGAAUUUUGCUUACGUCUUCUGAAGUUCUAUUAACAGAGAAGCAGCUGAUAAUAAAAGCACUUUUGUGCUCAGGCAUUGUUCCGAAGUCCAGUAACUUAGAAGCUGCUAAUAUAUACAAAGUAAUCUUGGUUGGUAUGUUUUCAAAGUUGAAUAAGUUGUUCAGCUUAAAUCUUUGAAGAACUAAUUAAACUUCGCAUCUGAUACCACGGAGAUAUUUUCAGGGAAACUAAUAUUAAUUCCAUUUGGAUAAAAAGAAAAGAAAACAUGGACAGAUCUUUUGGUACUCCAACCAAAGUUCUAAAAGACGUUAGGCGAUAGUCGAGCGGCGGGCUAGAGCCUAACAGUUAGGCGGGGCCCUACGAGAACUAGACCAAUUUAAGCAAUUUAUUGUAUAUUGUAUAAAUAAGUGUCUAUUUAUACUUCAAAAGACACAUAAUUGUAUUGGAUAUGUAAAUUGCUAGAUAAAAUAACAUACAAAUUAUAAAGUAUUAGGACAUAUUGUAAAUAUUGGAAACAAACAUAUAAUAAGUGUUUAUCCAAGUAUUCAAUGAGUCUCUUACAUUUUAUUGACAAAAAUAAAAUGCAAAAUGAAAGUUAUCAAUUUUAUGUCUAGGUGGAGUCGCAACCUAGGCGAUGCAUAGGCAGGUUUAGGAGGGCUAAGUGGGCGCCUAGGCGGACACCUAAGCGGGUUUAGGCACACUUUCUUAAUUUUAAAACGCCUAGGGACUAAUUGGGACGGUAACCAGUUGCCUAGUGUAUAAGCAGGAAUUUUCAGAAUAGUGGCUCCAACUACAAGUUCUACUUAUUUUAAUUAAAAGGGUUCUUCACAAAUAAGCUCCCUCAAAAACUAUGUUAGGUCAAAGGCACUUAAAUCUCCUUGCACUAUACACUAAAUAAGCAUAACACCAUAAAUCGAGCUGGUGCACUACUACUGAGGCCAUACUUAAAAACCAAAAUCCCGGACUGGAAAUUUCCAAAAAAAAAAAAAAAAAAAAAAAUCCCGGACUGAAAUUCGUGAUAAGAACACCGGCCAAAGAAAUAUUUUUUUUACAAACAAAGGGUAUCAAAAGCAAAGAAAUGAAUCAUACGUUGACGAAGCAAUCGUGAAAGUGAAGCCGAGUGAGGCUGGCAGUAAUCCGGGGAUCGGUCUGCAGAGCCUCUUCAAUGACUCCACGCACAAUGGUGGUGGCAUUCGGGCAUGAUUCAUCAUAAAACGUAGGAGUCAACUGAGCAUCACCACAUCCUGCACUUGCACACAAGAUUAGUAACACUGCCAAAACAUAUUUGUAAUACAAUUGAGCACUAUAAGGAGGCAUUUUUCUCAGGUGGUGUUCGAUUUUUCUAACAUAUGUUGAUCAAUGCAUAUGUGAGCCAAACGGUAUAGGUCUAUUUAUUGAGUGACAGAGUGAACUGGUAGAUGAGAAACCCGCGUUAGGUAGAUGUCAAAUUAGGUUUAUUUUUUUGGUAAAAAGUUCAAAUUAACUUAAAUAAAUAAAAAUCGAAGCCCUUUUCUCCCUUUUCUCCCUUUUUCUUCUUUACGUGAAGUGAACCAUGAUGAUAUACUGGAAUCCAGAAUGUGGGUCCCUGGAUGCAAUAUAAUCUGUCAUAUGGAGUAUCUGUGGAGUAUGAUUUUCUCUCCUCUUAUUCUCAUCUUAUUCCUUCUCCUUCUCUCACAUAUUGUUUUUUGUCUUAUUGUCUUUAUAAAAAAAUCAAUAUAAAAUGUUGACGUGAUUAAACCGUAACCAUUCAAAUAAAAGAAAAGGAAAAGGGAGAGAGAUUAGGAGGGAGGGAAUCCUCCUCCUAAAUGUUACUACCCUUCCCGCGAAAAAAGGUGAGGUUUCAAUCCAAAAGUUAGUUAAUAAUUAGAAGUGUCCCGAACUUGAAGUGUGUUUAGAUAAUAAGUUUUUUAAUUCGAUCAAUAUGGUAUCUUGAUUAAAAUUCAAAGUCCAAAUUAGAAAACAAUGUAUAAUAAUCACCGCAAGAAAACGAGACAAUAAUUGUAAAUUCUCUUUUCUUAUAAAAAAUAGGAAAAAGAGAGAAGAAUAACAUUAGUUGAAUGGGCGGAUGAAUAAACUAAUGAGUUGAAUAAAAGAAGAGAUAGUGCUAUUCACACUUUUGUUUUUAUUUUUCACACAUUCUUCGUAAUUUUCGGUUGUCAGAUCAAAUAAAUUGAAGAAUAUCACUAAUAAAAAACUAACACGGGUGUGCAAAUGUAAAAAUAAGUGUGUGAAUAGUACUUUCAUAAAAGAAGUAUCAGAUAUAUCAUGGCUUUGUUAAUUACACAAAGACAUACCUAAUUAUAACAUCUCUAGAAAUUUAGGACUUGUUUGGAAUUUUUUUUAAAAAUGACUGAAAAUAGUUUUAGAAAAAAAUAUUUUUGAGUUUCAAAACAACUUGAAGUGUUGCUUCUUGGGUUUAUUUAUAGAAAUUAUACCUAUACCAAAAUUGGGUUGAAAAACGUUAUUCACCAAAAGUGUUUUGACAAAAAUACCCUUUGUUUUUCUUUCCAUUCCUGCUUUGUUUUAUAAUGUGGAACAUGUUGUAAAAUCGACAGUGGGUGCAGUGGAAUAAAUGAAACAAGACACAAAAUUUACGAGAUUCCUCUACAGUCAGUGUGACUGGAGUACGUCCUCGGGACAGCAGUGGUGCUUUCAUUAUAAUUUAGAAUAAUAGGAGUACAAAGAUAACUCUCUCUAUUAUCUCCUCUCCUCUUCCUCUCCUUUCUCUCUUCCUCUCAUUUUCUCUCAUCCUUUCUUUCUUCCUAUCUCUCCGUGAGUCUUCCCACUUUGAUGUUGUGUGAGGUUUGUAUUUAUAUAGAAAAUAGGAGUAGUGUGUAGCAAGCUUCAGCAACCAAAAUGAAGGGCCAAUUAUUUAAUUUUUUAAAUGGACAUCCACUGUUCUACAACACUCCCCAUUGGAUGGCCAUAAGUCUUCGAUUGACUCGUUAAAAUCUGGAUCUGUUUUGAAUGCUUCCCCUGAUGAGUAUCUCCCCUGAUUUCAAAUCAUUUAGGCUGAUCGUUGAUCAUUCUGCUUCAGUCUCUUAGCAAAAAGAGUUUCCAAAAGAAGUGCUUUACUUGUUGUUAACUUUCCACAGGCUUGUUCUUGAACUGGGCUGAAGGGCCUUCUGUUAGACUUCCUCCAAAUGUUUGAAUUUACUUUUUUUAUUUGGAGCUAAAUUUAAUUCAAAUGUGGUGGACACUUGAUCUUGAAUCGGACUUGUGAUUUCUUCAAGGACUUCGAAACUUGAUCUUGAAUGAAGUUAUACCGUGAGAAGCUUCAUGUGGCAAAUGAUCUUCGGCUUUGUCGGGGAUGAAUUAGCACGUGUUUGUUGCGCUUGUCUCCACAUACUUCAAUGUAUCAUUUUCACUUGCCUUACUUGUUCCCCUUGCUUAAGUAGUAUUUUCCCUGGUUUUCCCCUAUGCAUGUGUGGCAUAUUCUCCUGUAGUAUUUGCCUUUUGAUGCAGGAGUGGAAUGCAACCCUUGCAUUUGGAUGGUUCAUCACUUCUUGGUGACUGGAGACCCAGCUCCAACAACAGUUGAAGAUGGCUACUCGAGAGCAAUACUAGGUAAGCAAUUAGGAAAUGUUUCAGGCAGUCGGUUCCUUACCGGGAGUUGGAGUGGAGGUUCCGACAUAUUUAUUUCUUUAUCCUUGUCUUUGCAGGUAAGAACAAGGACAAAGGAAAGGACAAAGAUAUUGCAUGAUAUGAGACACUCUUACUCUCGUCCAUGAAGAUAUGAGAUACUCUUGUUUCGGUGUGACUUGUUUAAAGAGGUAUUCUCGGAGAGGAAGAAAACUGAGUAUUUCGAGAUGCUUUAUUGAAGAUGCAUUCUCGGAGAUGAGAGAAAGUUAGGAGUUUUGGAUGUGUGCCUUGCCAUGGACGAUGAAGGUCGACUUAUAUAGGGAUUUCCCCAAUAGCAGGUAGUGGUGUUGUGCCUUUACUCUUGUCAGCAACUGUGGUGUAAUUAGAACAGUAAGAUUUACGCGUUUUCAACUUUGUCAGAGAUCUUUGACAAAGUUGCACGCGAUAGCAGAAAAAGCUGAGAUUGUGUCUGAAAAAUACCAACGAACUUUAUUCAGGAAAAUCUGGCUUUUGAAAUUCGGAUAGCAGUGCCUCUUCGAUCUCUGAACAAGUAGUUCUGUUGCCUCUUCUUUUAUCGAGAUAUCAAUUAUGUUCAAGAGUAUGCUCAGAAAGUUGCUGCCUGUAGAAAUUUUCCCCUUCUUGCACUUCUGAGAUUUUAUUUAACCUCUUUUGUUUUUCAUCAUUUCUGAAAAUGGCUUACCCAUCUAACAUUUGCUUAGAUUUGAGUCUUAGGAGUGAUACAGACGAGCAGCGUCAGGAUAACAUAUGGCGCCCGUCCUUCUUAUCUUCUAAUGGUCCUCUUACAAUUGUAGACUCUGUGAUGAAGAAUAACAUAACCGCUACUGUGGUAGCUAGGAAUUUUCUCACUCCAAGGGAUAAUAGAAUCAUUUCAAAACGAUCUGAUGAGUCGGCCAUUCAAGACUCUUUAGCUCUCAGUGUUCAGUGUGCUGGCUCUGUUUCUAAUAUGGGUCAACGCUUACUUGCUCAAACUCGCGAAGUUGAAUCAUUGAUGGCUGAGGUGGCAAGUCUUAAAUAAGAGAUUAGAGGGCUCAAGCACGAAAAUAGAGUGUUACACGUGCUUGCAAAUAAUUACUCUACGAGCAUGAAAAGAAAGCUCAACCAGCUGCAGGAAUCAAAAAGUCGAACUCAAAACAGUCACCAAAAGUUCGUUGCUAGAUUUCGAAAGUAACUGAUGUCUUCCCCUUUUGGUGUUUUGCCGAGUACUAGGGUGUCAUAUGAUCAAUCUCCAGUGCCUCCUCAUUAUGGGGUACUUCCGAGUACUGAGGCUUCACAUGAGCAACCUUUGUGAAGGCUUCAUCCUGUUUAUUUGUUUUGACUCAUGUGUAUGCACAUAUCUGUAAUUUCUCGGAGAUAUUAAUAGAUAAGCUUUAUUUCAUUCAGUGUAUUGUGCCAAAUACAAUAAAGCAUAUACUUCACUAAGAUGUGGUACUUUUGGACCAAACAUUAAUUUAUCUUUACCCUCACGAAGAUAAAUGAUCUUUCUUAGUGUUUACAUCAUUUGAGUAUUCAACUCAUAAUCUUUAAUCCAUAUGGUUCUUUUAAUAUCAUAGACAUCAUGGAUAAGAUUCGUGUUGGUAUAUUGUUUGAUCUGCAGCUCGAGACAAUAUUUCUCUCAACACUUUAUAAUCUUUCUUGACUCUUUAGGAGUCUCAAUUUAAUAUCAUCAACUCUUCAGGAGUUCUAAUUUAAUGUCAUUGACUCUUGCAAGAGAUUUUAGUAUGUUGCAACAAUAUCAUAAUGAUAGUACUCACUAAGGCAAUUUAUACCAUCCAUUGGUAUUGAGUACAUAAUUUAGGCUUUACCCUUCGGGGGCUUACUUCAAGCAAUUUGAAUCAUUCAGGGAUUUUCUACACUUUAUGACACAUUUUCCUUUGGAAUUUAUACAGUGCAAUUUGCUCCCAUGUAUACUUGAGGGAUUUACUUAUGGAGAUAUGAUGUGGGUGACUCACAACCCUUCGUAUAUAAUUCUCCAUUCAUAUGAACUCGUUUACAAGAGUAUAAUUAGUAACCUUGUGUCAUAUCAUGUAAGUGUAUUUCAUUGUAUUACAAAUGCUUAUAUGUAACCUUAUUGGUUCAACAUAUUUUGGCUAUUCAAAUAUAUAUAGGUCCAUUUUUCCACAUUCUUACAAAAUUGUAAUGGAAUCGCCUUUCUCCAUUUUUGGCCAAUAAUUUUGUUGACGAAAAAGAAUGAGACUCAAUAUCAACACAGCUCAUUGAUGAAUUUAGUAGCUACUUAUAAAAACCAAAAUUACCAUUGGUUAUCAUCAAUCCGUGAUCCCAUAUUCUCAUGUGCAUGCGCAUGCAUAAAAACUUUUCAUUUAUUUGGAUAUCCAUUGCCUCUCCAAGGGCAUUACACUAUCUAUUUCAGGAUAGUCAUAAUUUAGAGAAUGCGGAUCAUAACCUCUUCUUGAGCGUUAUAGAGCUUGAAUUUUAAUUUCCACUUCUAGGAGUUGAGUCAUUGGAACCUAUGCAUCUAUCAUGCUUCAUGCAUGAGACAUUAAUAUUCCCAUGUCCGUGGAUUGUCCUUUUUGGGACGUAUAUCCAUACGGCGACUGUCAUGCUUCUGGCAUGCAACAAUUAUGCUUCGGGAAUGCAAUAGUUCAAUAGUGCCAUAUUCUUCUUCUUUCGAAUGACUGAACGUUUUGAGUCUAAGGGUCUGCCAUGCUUCAGGCGUGCAACAGAUAAAUCAUUUAUCGCCUCAUUAUAUUGUCUAACAGGGACAUUAAUUCUUGUAGGCACAUUUGCAGCAAGUAUAUAUGAUUUUUUUAUCACUUUCGUUGCAUUAUUAAAAUGGCAUUUGGCAUUUGAAAACAUCGUUUGCAUCAUUCAAUUAUUCUUACUUCAUUUUCAUAUUGAUUGCUUCGUGAAUCAAAAUAAGACAAAUUUCUUUCUUCUGGAACGGUCUUUUCUUAUCAUUCUUCUGGAAUGAUAUUUUUUUCUCAUUCUUCUGGAACGAUAUAAUUUUCUCCCCUAGCGGGAAUAUUGUCUUAUCAAAAUGACAGUCUGCAAACCAUAAAAUAUCCCUAGUCAAGGUUUUUCCAAAUAUGAAUGAUAGAUGGUUAAUCAAAUUCAACAUAAAAUUCCCAGUUUGUAUCGAUGCCUUAUUUUAUACAUUAAAAUUUAAUAAUUUAUAACCAAAAACUCGAGUGUUUAAUGUUUGGCUAGUGCCUAAACACGAGUUGUACUAAGAAAUUUAAUUUGUAACUUAGUGUCAAAAUGCUUAAUAGUGAAUUCUUGUAAAUUUCGUUUUCAUGUCCAUAAGUAGAAAACUUGCAAUUUCGUUUCAUGAGCAGAGCGUGGGUAAUCAAUUUCAUCCGCUUAAUAAAAUGCUUCUACUAAACCAUUUUAAGUAUGGACAUAAGGAACUUCUGGUCCUAUUAAAUAGUUUGUGGAUUGAGACUUUUAUGACCUUUAUUACAAUUAAGUUGAGGCACUGCGGCACUUCAAACUUAAGGUAAUUAUCAAGAAACUUCAUGUCCGAUCUUGAGGAUCUAGGGAUUUCAUGCCUGAUCUUUUUGCAUGAUGGAACUUGGGGUUCAAUCAUUUUUUAUGUGAUGAGGAUCAAGAAACUUCAGGUUCUGAUCUGAUCAAGGAACUUUGGGUCUUAUAUAUACUUAUCGUAACAAAAGGUAAGUACAAUAAAUAAAUUAAAGCAAUAGGCAGUAAUUCCAGACAUAGUAAAUAAAUUGCAUUUAAGUAAAUAAAGCUUGUGACAAGGGCUUUAAUUUAACACCAUUCAUAUAAAUCAAAACUUAAAGCAGUAGGCAGUAAAACUGUCCAUGAUAAAUAAAUUGCUUUAAAGUAAAUAGAACUUGUGAAAGUGUUUUAAACCAACACCAUUCACAUAAAUAAAUAUAUAUAUAUAUAUAUAUAUAUAUAUAUAUAUUUCUUUCUUUUCUAAUGGUACAAACACCAUCCAAAAGCUUUUAUGUCACAUCCCGGCCUGGGGUGGACCACUUCCCAGGCCCGCUCCACCACCGUAGCACGAUAUUGUCCACUUUGGGCUUACCACGCCCUCACGAUUUUGUUUCUGAGAACUCACGAGCAACUUCCCAAAGGGUCACCCAUCCUGGGAGUGCUCUGGCCUCAUUCUAGCUUAACUUCGGAGUUCCUACGAAACCUAAAGCCAGUGAGCUCCCAAAAGGCCUCGUGCUAGGUAGAGAUGAGAAUAUACAUUUAAGAAUUACUCCCCUAGGUGGGUGAUGUGGGAUGUUACAUUUUAUCUUUUUUGUUUUUAUUAUUUCUUUUUCACAUGUUGUGUCGGCAUUAUGCAACGAGAUUCCACCCUUUUUUCAUAUAGCACCAAAACCCUUUUUAUUAUUUUUCAUUCAAAUGGUGCAGAUGCAUCAUUAGAAACCUUUGUCCAAAAAGUCCACUUUUCCAAUUCUUUUUCACACGGUGCUUGAAACACCAUUCCAUAAUCCUUCCUUCAUUUUUCUUAUCUGUCUGUCUGUACUAGUCUUAAACCCAGGGCCAUUUGGGUUGUUGUGGAGGUCACACAGAACCUAUUCAAUCUAAUAAGGCUACCAGAGACUGGCGUUAUUCUUGCAUGGCCCAGAGAACAUGGCGUCGCAAAGCAAGAACUUCCCUAUAGGGACAUAGAUGACAGCGGAGUUGAUGGAGGUACAAGAGAGGGAGGCAUGUGUGGAGUCAGUCAUGCCAUCACCAUCUCAGACAACCGAUUAUUCAUGGGAGUUCUCGAGAUCUGUCAAAAACGACGCUAUCUGGGUUUCCAAGUCUGAUGAGAUUCUUCUGGAUCUCUGGAACCAAUUGUCAAGUACGAGUUUUCUCAUCUCGUGACGACUUCAGGUCGUUGUAAAUUUCAAUUCUUACUGGAAUUUGGUGGGGCGGGCGCUUCAGGCGCAGUGGAGAGACAGAAAAUGGACAUACCUUUUAUUUAUGUGAUAUUUUGGCUAGCAGAGGUAAGGUAGGUAACGCUUUACCAGAUUUAUGGCGUUGUGCUUUCCAUUGACAUGAGAGCUUUCUCGUGCUGAUAACGUGUUGUAAAAUCGACGGUGGGUGCAGUGGAAUAAAUGAAACAAGACAAAAAAUUUACGAGAUUCCUUUACAGUUAGUGUGACUGGAGUACGUCCUCGGGGCAGCAGUUGUGCUUUCAUUAUAAUUUAGAAUAAUAGGAGUACAAAGAUAACUUUCUCUAUUAUCUCCUAUCCUCUUCCUCUCCUUUCUCUCUUCCUCUCUUUUUCUCUCAUCAUUUCUUCCUUCCUAUCUCUCUGUGAGUCUUCCCACUUUGAUGUUGUGUGGGGUUUGUAUUUGUAUAGAAAAUGGGAGUAGUGUGUAGCAAGCUUCAACAACCAAAAGGAAAGGCCAAUUAUUUAAUUAUUUGAGUGGACAUACACUGUUCUACAACAUAACAUGGUAUUUAGAAAUUUUCCCUUUGAUACAUGUUGGCUACGUGUGCCAACGUGGGACUUCCAGACAUCAUUGAUAAUCUCGGAAGGGAGAAAUUUUUAAUUGUGAUAUGAACAUGAGUGGUACAUCAUGUGUUUUUAUGUAACUGAUGAGAAAUUUUACUUUUUAAGUUAGUAGCUUUUUAACACACAUAUCCCACUAUUUGUAUAAUGACACGUGGUGUACCACCUCGUGUGUUGGUCACAAUGAAAAAUCUAUUGAAGUAAGGGGUAUUUCCCCCUUUUUUUUCUCUCGAAUUCUCUCUAUAAAAAACUAAACCACGGCCGCCACUUUUCUUAUCCCCCAACCGCCGAUCUCGUCACAGUUUGGUAUGAACCAAAUGGAUUUCUUUUUAAAACAAAUCGACAUGACUAUGAAUAUAUCAGCCGACUUGAAGGAUUCGAUGGUCACAUACAUUAUUUGAGUAUAUCAUGUGUGUGUUUUUUUUUUUAUUGGUGAAUUAUCAUGUGUGUGCUUUAAGUAAUAGUUGGAUCACCUGCAAAGAACUCUAUGGUCUCAUUUUCUAGAAAGUAAUGACAACUAUCAUGCAUAAGACUAAGGGCUGGUUUGGUAUUGCUGUGCUUUGAAAAAAAGCUGCUGUGAGAAUAAGCGGCUGUGAAAUAAAGCCAGUAGAGUGUUUGGUAAACUUUUUUGUGAAAGUGCUUUUGAAAAAAAAAGCAGGAUGAUAGUGUGUCUUUUCAUUAAAGGAGCACUGUAACUCCGUGUGCUUUGAAAAAACUGGCUUUUUUUCAAAGCAGCAAAUAGCAGCUUCACCUUUUCCUUUGAUUUUCAGCUUACUCUCACAGCAGCUUCCAAAAUAAGCUUUUUUUUUUUCAGUUUACCAAACACAAAAAUGACCCUCAGCUUUUUUUCACAAUGGUUUUUUUUAAAAUCACCUCAAUCCCAAACGGGGCCUAAAAGCAACCACACAAAAGUCUUUUUAGCCACCCACAAGUCGAAAACUACUAUUGUGCAUGUCACAUAAGCAAAAUUUUCACUCUUCCAACUUUAUAGCCAAUCGUGCAAAUUAUUGGUAAAUUUGACGGUGAUCGCAUUAACCUUCUCUUCAAUGCAUGACAUGUGGAAAAAAUCAUCAUCAAACAGAAGUUUGAUAUUAUGCACGUGUCCCAUCUUUAUUUGCGCGUUUGUGUUUGUUUUUUAUUUCAAUAGGUUGAAGAAAAAAAGCACUGGCUCGAGCAAGAAGGCUGCAAGGGUCCGAACAAGCUUAAGAGGAUUGCAAGUUGCAAGUACCUUCUUCGUUUUCAUGUAUGUUUCACUUUUACUAUAAUUUAGUUUUUCUAGUUAUAAUUGUAUAAAUUUUUCGUUCAAUUUAAUAUAAAGGUUCAGCUCAAAAGUUUAAGAUUAUAAUCCACUUUGUUUCGAUUUUUGAUCUCUUGGUGUUUCAAAGACAAAAAACAACACACGAUCCACAUAUCAAUAAAAGGCUUUUAGUCCAUUCCCAUUUAUAGAAUUUUGCCGACUCUACUGCUGUAAAAGGGGCUUAAUAGUGCAAAAGUACGAAACGAAACAAAAAGAGGAAGGGCGAGAGAGAGAUGCAAUUGGGUAUUUGUCGGAUCGAAGCUCUUCCAUACCCUUCCAUUAUCUCCACCGACUCCUUGACUAAAAGAGAGUGUUUUUUGUCUCAUUUUCUCAUCAUAGCUAAAGCUAGAAAGUAUGUUUCAUAUUUUCCCUGUCCGCAACUGGGAUUAGGAGAAAGAGAUUGAGAGAACAGAGGUUGAUCUAAAUCAUCAAACACAAGCAUAUGCCUGUUUCCAUUUGUCAACUUACAAUUUGAAUAGCUUGGGUAACGAUUAUGUUGACCCUAAAAACUAUCAGGUUUACGUGGCCCACAGACCGAGUAAUUAAUAAGCUAACUACGUCAUUCGGUUAUGUGCAGGGCGUGCCAACUCGACGGCCAAGCUCGAUCGGGGAGUAAAAUGUGUUGUUGUGUUGGGCAUUGCUGACUUCUUGAUCCUGCUAUUGCGGCCGAGGUAGAAACACAUCUAGCCUUUUGGGUUCCAGAGCCUGAAGACACGGCUGCUAGUUCUGUGAGUUCACAAAUCGUCAACGCCGGGUUCGGUCAUGGUGAUUAUAUUCGUAAUAGUAUAACCACACCGAACUAGCACCAGACUAUAUGGACACAAGUACUCGAAAGUGACGUAUGUCUUGAUAGUAAAUGUGGUUCAACCGUCGGAAUGUCGGACUCUGAAUCUCACUUGCGAAUAUCCAAUCAUAAAACAACUCGGCGUUCAAUGUGCCGAGCCUAGUAACCUGUAACACCUCACUUCGUUGAGAAGGUUGAUGAGAUGACCUCUACCAGCAAGAACUCGAAAGUCACUAUCGACCGGGACUUGGAUAAAUAACCAGUAGGUCUCGAAGCAGUGCUGUUUAUCCAAACUGAAGGAGGUUCUCCUCGGUCGGUUGAUUCUACGGCUCCAGUACUGUGCUACAUUGGUUCUGUUAAUAAAGCUUCUUGGUUUCGGUGUUGUGCAGGUUGAAUGGUAAGAAGAUGUUGAGAUUGUUGACGGGGAAGCGUCUGGUUUUUGUUGGCGAUUCUCUCAACAGGAACAUGUGGGAGUCUUUGCUAUGUGUUCUUAGAAACUCAGUGGAUGAUAAGAACAAAGUCUAUGAAGUUUCUGGUAGGCAAGAAUUUCGCACAGAGGGCUCUUACUCCUUUGUUUUCGAGGUAUGUUAGUUUCAAUUUCAUAGACUCAUAAAUUCUUCCUUCUUACCUUUCGGCCUUGUUCAUCUUAUUAAGUAAUAUUAAUGUAUUUGUUGUUCAAUGGAUCAAUAGGAGUACAACUGUUCCGUGGAGUUCUUUCAAUCACGGUUUCUAGUUCAAGAAUGGGAGAUGCUGGAACCAAGUGGAUCAAAGAAGGAAACGCUUCGCAUUGAUUUGAUUGAGAGAUCCUCUGACAACUACAAAAAUGCAGAUGUUCUCAUCUUCAACACAGGUCACUGGUAGACUCAUGAGAAAACUUCCAGCGGGUAAUUCUCCUGCUCCAAUUCACUCUAUGUCAUGGAUUUUUUGGAAAGUAGUCACUAGGCAGCGAAGUUAAAAUAUUUAUAAAUCUUGCAGGAAGGGUUACUAUCAAGAGGGUAGCCAUAUUUAUGGUGAACUGAAUGUUGACGAUGCAUUUCGCAAGGCUUUAACGACAUGGGCUCGAUGGAUAGACACCAAUGUAAAUCCUAAGAAAACUGCUGUUUUCUUCCGGGGCUAUUCACCUUCUCACUUUAGGUACAUUUUGAAGACAUGAAAUACUUCAACUUGGUUAACAAAUGUAUUGCAUCUUGCUAAUCUUUUUACUCACAGAGGCGGAGCAUGGAAUUCUGGAGGGCAUUGCCAUGGCGAAACAAAGCCAACUACCAGCUUGGAAUCCACGGAAUAUGGAGGAGCGUAUCCAACAAACAUGAAAAUCUUUGACUCGGUACUCAAGGGGAUGAAGACGCCAGUCAACUAUCUGAACAUUACAACAAUGACUGAUUUUCGGAAGGAUGCUCAUCCAUCGAUUUACAGAAAGCCGAAUUUAACUGAGGAGGAGCGAAAACCGCCUAUGAUCCACGAUUGCAGUCACUGGUGCCUCCCUGGCGUUCCUGAUACAUGGAACGUGCUAAUAUAUGCUCAACUCCUCAAACAUAACCAGAAACAACAUAGACAGAAGAAACAGCAAAAUCAGAGGACAACUUCUUAAAUAUGGAGAAAAAAAAUUAUAAAGUAUACAUGUUUUGUUGGAAAGCUCACCGUACGGAGAAUAUCGAACAAGUAUGAUCAAACGAAGGAUAAGAGCAAUAGUUGUAGACUUGUAGUUAGAAAAAGAGAUGGCGCAAUGUGGUUUAGUGAAAAAUUGUGUUUCCAGUUGUGGGAUAGAGGUGGUGAGGGAAACAGGAUUUAGCCCUUGCGUCCUCUCUGGUGCAUUUGAAGGAGAGGCUUGAAAAAUCGGUGACUCGAAACAGCGAGUGCCGGUGAUCAUGGUGGUCGCAGAAGCUGGUUUUGGUAUUGAGAAGGUCAUGAAUAUAAAAUUCUGGUAUGGUACUGGUUUAACGCCACAAUGUGCAGUUGUGGUUGCAACUUUAAGAGCCUUAAAAUGCCUGCAUGACUGAGACUGUGGCUGAAGCCGGUUACAUGAAAUUUUCCAGGCAUGUCUCAAACACGAAACACUAGAGUGUAAGCGUGGUUGUUACUGCAAACAAAUUUUCGAUUGAUAGUGAAGCAGAACUAAAUGCAGUCAGAAAUAUGCAGCAUUGUGCAGCCGGGGCAUAUGAGCACUUAAUUAUACUCAUCAUGCACUUUGUGGAAAAGAAGCGGUUAGUCACUUCAUCCCAUUAGUCUUAUUAUUGGCAAUAGGAAUUGGACAUCAAUUUCUUGUAUCCGAAGAAAUGAGUCACUAUUAAUAUCGACACAUAUGAGAUCGCCAGCCCUUCGGGAGUUCCUCUAUUUUCUUCUUGCUUGCAAUUGCCUUCGCCUAUGAGCGGUAGGUCUCGGGUUCGAGACUUGGGAGCAGCUUCUCCAUAAAUGGGGGUAAGGCUAGCCGACAUUCACCUCUCUCAGACCUUGUGUAAAGCGGGAGCCUUGUGCACUGGGUACGACCUUUUGCAUUGCAGAUCCUACUAAAACUUUCAAUCCCAGUUUUAUACUGUGGUUGGAACAACGAGCACAAUGCCGGAUUUUCUGACUAGGCCUCGCUUCUAUCACAUUGAUCUUGACACCACCUAUCGGAAAUUAGGUUAUCAGUCUUGCUUGAAAAUCAAUGUAUAUGGCUCUCAUAUGCUCACCGAAGCAACAUUUUCCGACGUCCAUCAAACAAAAGCCGGCCACCAUCUCUUCCCCCUUACAAAUUACACUUCUGCAAACUUCUGUUAUUGUGCUCUUUGAUUGUUAUGUCAGUUUUUUGCAUUACCAAAUAACAAUGUCACAAAUAAAAACAAAUUUUUGUGUCACCUUUUUUAGCUUGCUACGUACAAAUGCUGUUAAAAUUUUACCACAUUAUAAUUUCCUCUUUCAAACAUUGACUCCACUCUUUUUUUAACUAUUAUUAAGGAGAGAGAAGACUCGAAACUAUUACAUUAAUUUAAGAGAUGUGGAGUUUCAAACCCGAAAUGCAUGUAGGGUUGGAAGCUUCUCGGGUUCGAAACAUCGAAUCCACUCUGCAUGCCACUUUUACUACGAAAAAGGGAACCACUUUAAUUUUGUUUUAUUAUCAUUCUUGGCUGUUCAUGAUUUCACUUUAACUACAUAACAUUUAAUUGAUAAUUACUCAAAUCAUAAAAAUAUUGGUUCAGUGUUAGAACAUUUAUCUUGGUAUUCUAAUGAAAGAAAAAAAUAAUUGAACUCAUACUGCUAUCAUAUUUAUGAUAUGGAUAAGUGUGUAUAAUACCUGUAUAUAGAAAUCAGACAACUUAAAUUUAAUAUUUAUAACACUACUGAUACACUAAUGUGAGUUUACUUCGUUAAUAUCACACUUAUGAGCGUAAUAUAUCACAAUCAUAAGUUCAAUAUAUUGCUAUCAAACUCAAUUUUUUUGACCAACUGCAAUGCAAGAGUGUGACUCCUAUAUAUGUAAAUAUAGGGAUGUGAUAUCUACACACCAUUUUUUACUUCUCUCACACCCUUUUAAUUUUCGGCCGUCGGAUCGGAUGAAUUGAAGAAGAUUAAAGGACAAAAAUUAACAAGAGGUGUGAUACCCUGUAAAUAAAAAAAGGUGUGAUAAGAUUGUUAAUAAAUGGAUAUACUGUUAUAAACGAAUGAAUUGGUAAAAUUAUCAAAUAAUGUGUGGUCACGCAAAAAAAUUACUCCAAAUCAAAGUGAGAGGGACGUGAGAUAUUUUUCUUACAAAAAAAAAAAAAAAUAUGCCACUUGUUCAUAAAUUAUUAUUACAUCUGCAUUUGUUUUUUAUGUUCAAUUACAUCUGCAUUCUUAUAUUCAAAAAUAGCAACUUUCAACCGUGCAAGUAGACUAAAGGUUGAUUUGAUAUUGCUGUUAUUUGAAAAAAAAUUACUUCUGUUGUAUUGUGAGAAUAAAUAGUUGUGAAAUAAAGCAGUGUUUGGUAAACUUUUUUUGUAAAACUGCUUUUGAAAAAAAAAGCAGUAUUAUAGUAUUUAAUAAACUUUUAUGUAAAACAGAUAUAAAAAAAAGUUGAUUUUUCAAAGUUGGGUUUUACAGCUUUGUGUUUUUGAUUUUUUUUCCACUCAAAACUGUAAAAAAAAACAAAAACCAAAUGUUUACCAAAUAUAAAAACAUUUUUUUAUAGCCAUUUUUUUUCACAAUUACCUCAAUACAAAGAGCUAACCACCAAACUGAAAAGUGGUCUUCACAGCAGAAACUGUAUGGAAAAUUAAUUCUUCCACCCACACAGGUCACAGGCUCGCAAACAAUGGCGGAUUACUCAACCCAGACAACCCCAAAACCCACAAAGCACCACCACUCCCCCACAAUCCCAAGACCAGAGGCCUUCUCCAAGCCCUCUCUUUCUUCCCCAAUCUUCUUCCCCUCCAGAAGAACCGCCGCCUUUGCCUAUGGCUUCUCGUUCGUCUGCAUCGCUUGCACUUUCUUCCUGGUUUUCAACCCAUCUGGCUACUCUUUCCCUUUCGGCUUCAAGAACAUCUUCAAAACCCCUUUUGAACUUUCCCGGGAAACCCCAUUUUCCUGGAAAGCUGAAUAUUUCCCGCGUUUGGAUGAGAGUGUAGGUUUGCAGUCUGAUAUGGCUAGUGCCCAACUGCCGAACCCAAUUCUUUUCUUGCCCCAAGAAUCCAAUCAGACUUUGUCCCAGAACACUACGAUUCAAGUAACUGGGAAAAUGGGAUUUUCCGGGAAACUGGAGGGUUCAAGAAAAAAUGAAUCUUUUGCUAAAGAUUCUGAUGGGGUUUUGGGGCAAGCAGUGGCAUUGACCUCGAAAGAGAGUGAUGAUGCUAGUGAGGCAUUGUCUGAAUCUGAGAAGCAGAGCAAUCAAACUCAGCCCGGUUAUGAAUUUUCGAGGGAUGAUUGUGACCUGUUUGAUGGAAUGUGGGUGAGAGAUGAUUCGUAUCCGCUUUAUGCUCCGGGUUCUUGUCCUCUUAUUGAUGAAUCCUUCAAUUGUUUUCUUAAUAAGAGGCCGGAUAAUCGCUACGAAAAGUAUAGAUGGCAACCCAAACAUUGCAAUCUUCCAAGGUGCAGGGCUGUUUUUACUUCUGAUUUAAAAGCAUGUUUUGUUUGUACAUUGCAUUGCAUUUGGUUUUGCUUCUAAAAAAGGUCGUACCCAGUGCACAAGGCUCCCGCUUUACGCAGGGUCUGGGAAAGGUGAAUGUCGGCUAGCCUUACCCCCAUUUGGUUUUGCUUCUAAAUUAAGGUAAUUUUGCAUGACUAGUUCGACUUCUAAAGUUAGCAGUUUUAGGAAUUUGUGCUUGUUAUGGUUGUUUUUCAUAAGUGCAAAUUUACUUGUUUGCAAAUUAAUCUUGUGAGGAUCAAUAUAACAAUUACUUGUUAUGACAGUUUAAAAUUCACACUGAAUUUCUGUUUUUAAAAACAACGGAGUUUCGUUGUGUGUACUAAUGUGUCUGCGUGUGUAUGUUUAUGUUUUAUGCUUAUGCAUUCGUGUAUUGUUUUUGUUGAAUAAAGCUUGUUGGUUCAGAUUUGGUGAUGCCGGUUUCUGGUGAACUUUUUGUGCAGGUUGGAUGGUAAGAACAUGUUGGGACUAUUGAGAGGAAAGCGACUGGUUUUUGUUGGGGAUUCUCUUAAUAGGAAUAUGUGGGAGUCUUUGCUUUGUCUUCUUCGAAAUUCAGUGGAUGAUAAAAGUGGAGUUGUUGAAGCGUUGGGUAGGAGCGAAUUUCGUUCAGAGGGAUCUUACUCUUUCGUAUUCAAGGUAUGUUCGCUAUCUUGGAAUUCAAGGUAUGUUCUCUGACUUCGAAUUCAUAGCCUGAUAAAUUCUUCCUUCUCUCCAUUGGAUUUGUGUCGUUGCUGAAUUUCAUUUUGACCAGAGUGAAUUAGAUAGUUCACAACACUAGACCAGAUAUAAUUUGCUAAUGACUUGAGAAUUCAAACAAGUAGAAAUAUUUACGUGUUUUUUUUUUUCUGGAGUGGAUGAAUAGGAGUACAAUUGCUCAGUGGAAUUCUUUCGAUCGCCAUUUCUAGUUCAAGAAUGGGAGAUGGCAGAUGCAAAUGGAUCAAUAAAGGAAACGCUUCGCCUUGAUUUGAUUGAGAGAUCCUCCGAUAAGUACACAAAACUGCAGAUGUUCUCAUCUUCAACACAGGUCACUGGUGGACUCAUGAGAAAACUUCCAGAGGGUAAAACUCAUUCUCCCUCUCACUCUAUGUCAUUAAUUAAUUUUCGGAACUCGGAAAUACUAAACGAAUAUAAGAAUCUUGCAGGAAGGGUUACUAUCAAGAGGGUAGCUACAUCUACGAUGUAUUGAACGUUAAAGAGGCAUUUCGGAAAGCUUUAACAACAUGGGCAAGAUGGGUGGAUACCAACAUAAAUCCUGAGAAAACUAUUGUUUUCUUCCGGGGCUUUUCACCUAAUCACUUUAGGUACAUAGACCACAUCCAGUACUUUUUAACUUUUAAAACCUCACGGUUCGUUCACAAAUAUACAGCAUCUUCAUAAACCUUUUACCCUUUGCAGAGGUGGAAGAUGGAAUUCGGGAGGGCAAUGCCAUGAUCUAAUAGAGCCACUUGCAAAGGAGACAAAUAGAGGAAAAUAUGCAUCAAAAUUGAGAAUAUUUGACUCAGUAAUCACUGGAAUGAAGACGCCAAUAUUCUAUCUAAACAUUACGAGAAUGACUGAUUUCAGGAGGGAUGCUCAUCCAUCGAUUUACAGAAAGCAGAAUUUUACAGAGGAGGAGCGGAAAUCGCCUUUGAGACACCAGGAUUGCAGUCACUGGUGCCUCCCUGGUGUUCCUGAUACAUGGAAUGAGCUUCUAUAUGCUCAGCUCGUUCGACAUAACCAGAAGCAACAACAACAGCAGCGUCAAGACCCACAGCGACAGAAACCCUAGAUAAAUGAUUAGACAGAUGCCUUGUAUAGAUGGGAUCAUGUCAAAAUAGUUUUGGAGAAAAUGUUUUCUGUUGCAUCUUUCUAUAGGAUUGUAGGAGGAAACAAAAUGAUGUGAUAUUCUUUGUAAAAUUGAGUCUCGGUAAUAUAAGCUGAUAAUAUCUUUUUGUGCAAAUGGAAGUAAGAUGAUAAUUGUGAGUUCUGUCAUAUGAGUUAGAAGAUGAGAUCGUUGCUCUCGUAGCCAUGGUCGUCACAACCAUCAUACGAAGCAAAAGCUUAACUAGGUUUACGAUUACACAACCAUAAUUAUUUCAAAUAAUGCUCAACACCAGAGUAGCAGAUGAUCCAUAUGUACGGUGUUAAAUGAACAAACUGUUCCACACGAAGCAAGUGAAUGAGAUCAGUCGGUAGACUCAGCACAGCCUUAGGAGAAAGGCUUAACUACCACCAAAUAGGCGAUCGUGAUGGUAUUUCAAACUAAUUUCGCACUACAUGUGAGCGAUCGAUAUUUAUUUAGAAAAUAGUCAUAAUGGCGUACACGUUGUAGCUGUAAGUCCUUCUCCACCCCCGUGCAAAGAACACGUGAAAUAUGCAUAUAUGAAUCUCUGCGGUGUGAAGGAAACAAAAUGCUCCAAUGAAGCAAGUGAGAUCACUCAGCACGGCCCAGGAAGAAAGACAACUACACCGAUUGUGCACAUCUGAUCUGACCAUUGUUUUAAUUUAAUUUGUAGAAAUGAAACUAGGGUCUUCAAAAAUUGAGGAAUAUUCAGCAGCAUAAAGGUGAUGUUACCACUAGUUGUAGAAACAUGGGGGUCUUUGGAUUGUUUGAUGGAUGUGUUUUGAGUCAAACAAUUACUAGAAGAGCAUAGAAUUUCCGUUAUGUUGGUUUAUGAUGAUCUUCUUUUGCAGGUUGGAUGGUAAGAACAUAAUGGGAUUAUAGUGAGGAAAGCGCCUAGUUUUUGUUGGUGCGUGAUUCUCUUUGAGGGAAUAUGUUAGAUCAUCCAUCGGUCUGUGUCUUGUUAGAAGUUCAUUGGAUGAUAAGAGCGGAGUUGUUGAAGCCUCUCGUAGGAGCAAAUUUCGUACACAAGGAUCUUGCUCGUUCAUAUUCAUGGUAUGUUGUUGAGUUGUUCAUUAGCCAUUUCGUUACAAGCAGAGUGAAUGAGAAAGUUCGCACCACUGGAUACAAUUUGCUAUGACUUGAGAUUUCCAAUUCAAACAAGUAGAAAUUUAUGUUUGUAGUGGAAUGGAUCGAUAGGAGUAUAACCGUUCGUUGUAAUUCCUUUAAUCACCAUUUCUAGUUCAAGACUAGGAGAUGCCUCCUAGUUAACUGAGCUUUCUUCUGCCAUUCUUUGUAAGCUGAAAGAAACUCAAGAACAAGGACAUGCAGAGACUGGCCUGAGGAUACCCGCUCUGAUACCAUGUGGAAAAAUGAUAAAAGUGUGUGUGCGCGUGUAUAUAUAUUCAAUAACAUUUCAAUUAUACGUCACACAGAUUGGAGGACGUUUAAGUAGCAACAAGGAGAAGAUGUACACACCACAACUUUCUCCUUUAGUUAAACCUUGACUGCGGGAUUUGUCUAAGCAACAAACAUCCAUGAAUUAAGGCAAAUGAUUUCGGGAGUAAGAGUGAAACAAAGAAAACCCGAGUUUCCAUGAUAUAAGCUGAUAAUAUAUAUCUUCUUCAAAUAUAUGUGGUUGAUUAUAGUGAAUUCGAUCUGUCUUUUUUCAAGUUUACCGAGAAAAGUGGACUAGUAGCCAUAGAAGCUCAAAGAUGAGCUCGGUACUUGUAGUAAUGAUCAUCACCAUCAUCACAUGAAGCAUCAAGCUUAACUAGUUUUACAUAACCUUAAUUAAUUUAAUUAAUAUUCAGCUACCAAAGUAGCAGCUGGUCCAUAUGAAUCUCCAUUAACCCUACGGCAGUUCAAUCGAAUCUCUCCAUCAGUACCGGUCAAGGGGCUUAUAUUCCCCAUUUUAAUCAUGGAUUCCACGAAACUCUCAAAGAAUGCGCUCUGAUUAGUGCUGAAGUUGUUAACAAUGUCGGUGGUAUCAGCCCCGCUAGUUGAAAACAGCUCUUGAUCGCUUUGGAGCAAGCCUUUCUGGACUUGAAGAUUCGAGAAAUACUUUGCAUCAAAAGUGUCGGGCGUUACAGGAUCCAAAUUGGCUAGCACACUGCUAUUCCCAUUCUGCGGGCAUAUCUCACUCAGUGUUUGUAAGUAGGUUGAGUUCAAGGUUGGAUCAGGACUGCCUGUGCCGCUGAAGUUAUACAAUCGAUUGGUGAAAGAUUGACAUCUAGCACGCCCAAAUGUGUGAGCACCUGUCAAUUUUGCAUGUCAAAUUUUGUUAAUAUAAAGUAAAGCAACAUAGUGAGGAUAUUUUUUUUUUUGUAGCCGUGCGAUCUGCUUGCUUACCAGAUAGUGCAACCAGAUCAGUGGUGUUGAGGCCUACAGCUAAGAAGUUGGCCUUGAGUCCAUCAAGUGUUAAAGUAGGAGCUGGAAUGGCUGCGUUGGCAGCCGUGCGGUUCGCUGUUGUGCUAUCCCUUCUUCCCAGUAGCACUGUCCAUGAAGGACCUCCAGACUGUAACCAUAGAUUAAUUACUCAAUUACAAUAUCUCACGAAACAAAUGCUUUAAAUUGUUGUUGAAGCUUGAAAUAUAUACCAAAGCAACAGAUUCUUCGGCAGCAAUGGUGAGAAUAUCAGCACAGGAAACGAUGGCGGGACAAGCAUUCUCCAAUGCAGUCUUGAUACUGUCCACAACAUCAAAUCCUCUGGCUGAGUUGUUAUUUGCAAAUGCUGUUUUUUCGCUGUCUAUGGUACUGGUAGAACUGGUACUAUUGUCCAACAGAAUUGAUCCAUCGCAACCCUGAAAUAGAAUCAACAAGUUCUUUUCAUCUCAAAAUUGCACGUUUGGAAUUUUACUUCUUCUGAAGUUCUAUAAACAAAGAAGCAGCUGCUAAUAAAAGCACUUUUGUGCUUGGGCAUUGUUCCGAAGUCCUGUAACAUAGAAGCUGCCAUAUAUACAAAGUAAUCUUGAUUGGUAUUUCAAAGUUGAAUAUGUUGCUCAGCUUAAAUCUUUGAAUAACUAAAGCAUUGCAUCUGAUACUAUGAUAUAUUUUCAGGGAAAUUAUUAUUAAUUCCAUAUGGAUAAAAGGAAAAGAAAACAUGGGCAGAUCUUUUUGUGCUCCAACUACAAGUUCUAUUGCUACAAUUGAAUUAAAAGGGUUCUUUACAACUACGCCAGUCAAAACUGUUGAGAAUGAGUCUCAUAUUGAUGGAAUGAAGGAUAUUGCAUGAGCUUAUAAGUAAGUUGGUUUAUUCCCCAUAUUACCAAUUAGUUUUAUGAUAGAACCUUAACUUUCUUAAAAAGCUAUCUUAAAUAGUCAAAACACGUAAAUCUCCUUGCACUAUACACUAAAUAAGCAUAAUACCAUAAAUCGUACUGGUGCACUGACUACUGAGGCCAUUCUUAAAACCAAAAUGCUGGACUGGAAUUCGUGAUAAGAACACCGGCCAAAGAAAGAUUUAUAACAAACAAAGGGAUCAGAAGCAAAGAAGUGAAUUAUACGUUGACGAAGCAAUCGUGGAAGUGAAGUCGAAUGAGGCUGGCAGCAAUCCGGGGAUCGGUCUGCAGAGCCUCUUGAAUGACUCCACGCACAAUGCUGGUGGCAUUCGGGCAUGAUGCAUCAUAAAACGUAGGAGUCAACUGAGCAUCACCACAUCCUGCACUUGCACACAAGAUUAGUAAGAUUACAAAAAUAUAUUUGUAACAAAAUUGAGCGCUACAAGAAGAAGGCAUCUUCUUAGGUGGUAAUCGAUUUUUCUAACUUAUGUUCCUAAAUGCAUAUGUGAGCCAAUUAGUAGGUCUAUUUAUGGAGUGACAGAAAGUGGAUUGGCACCAAACUGACACGCUUUAUUGGAUAUAAAAAUGAAAGCAUGUGUUAGGUAGAUAAGUCGAUCAUGGAUUUUAAAGUUCAAAUUUAACUUUGAUAAAUAAAGAGUUGUGUUAUCCACAUAUUUAUUUUUACUUCAUACACAUCUUCUUAAUUUGCAGCCGUCGGAUCAACUGAAUUAAAGAAUAUCAAAAGGCAGAAAUUAACAAAGAGUGUCUGAUAAAUAAAAAAAUAUGUGUGAAUAGCACACUCCUAAAUAAAUAUAUAAGCCCUUUUAUCCCUUUACAACCACGCAGAUACGCUGGAAUCCAGACUGUGGUCCCUGGAUGCAAUAUAAUCUGCCAUGUGAAGGAUAUAAUGUUGCGCAGGAAAAAGUUGAGGUUUCAAUUCAAAAAGCACCUAAUAAUUAGAGGCGUAUUGAACUUGUAGUGUGCAGAUAAAAAACGUUUUUUGAUCAAUAUUGUAUCUUGAUUGAAAUUCAAGCUCCACAUUAGAAAACAAUGGAAUAACUAUCACUGCAAGAAAAUGAGACAAUAUUUGAAAAUUAUCUUUUCUUACUAAAAAAAGAAAAUGAAAGAUUCUAACAUUAGUUGAAUAAGUGGAUAUAUAAAUUAAUGAGUUGAAAUAAAGAGGUAUCAGAGAUAUCGUUGUUUUGUUAAUUACACAAAGACUUAUAACAUCUUUAUAAUUUAACGUAUAUUUACUGGAAUAGGAUCAGGGAUAAACAUUUUGACAAAUAUUUUUACAUUUUUUAUAAGCUCUUGGAUAUUUAUUUACAUCAAACACUUUUAGUUAAAGUUAAGAUGCUACUAAAUGACGAGAUUGUUUUACGUAAAAUAUUUUGAUAAAGGAAUUUCGUGAAGUUAAAAUAGAUCCAGCCUGCAUCUUCCUCCUCUGCCAUUUAGCUCAAUAACUCUCCAACAACAAAAAAGAGGUUUGCAUUAUGCCAUUGACGAAAUUCAUCUUUAACUUUAAUGCAUUGAAUAUUUCUUAACAUGGCUAUAUAAUACCAUUUGUAUGCCAAGAAAAAAAAAGAAGCUAAAAGCAAAUCCAAACAAGAAUAUAUCUUAUAUCCCAUUCCGAAAAUUUAUUCUAUUUGCCAGGAAAAUAUGGGUUGCCUUCUUCAUUCAAUUACAAUUUUCCUCCUGAAAUAAUAUCCAAUUAACCAUCAUAUAUCAUAUGAUUAUUUAUUUUGUAGAAUUUUUUUGUCAAAAAUUCAUGCGAUAAACAUUUUACAUGCAUAUAUGGUUAUUUGUUUUGUAGUUUUUGUUGCAAAAAAUCCAUGUUAUAAACAUGUUACAUGCGUAUUGUGAUGACUUACCACCAAAAGCAUUAAUGGAGGGCUUCCUCCCUCCUUGUUGUUCACUUUUGCUUUCCUCCCAAUUUUUUUUUUUUUUUUUUUGCAACAAUAUAUUAAAUAGCAAACAAUAAACUACUCAACAUUGCACCAUUAAUCACGUAGUUGGAAUUUAAGUGAAUCUCCAUCCCCCAAUCUCCGUAGAUGUACUAGACUUUGGCUGCGAAUCCACAAGAUUAGUCAAAUAGGCUUCUAGGGUUUUUGUUGUUUGAGCGAAAUUCCCAGUUUUUAUUCAUUUUAAGUUUUAAUCUUUAUUUGUUUAUAUAUUAUAUUAGUUAUAAUCCAUGUCAUCAUUCAUGUUAUUUAAGACUAAAAGCCUCCACAUUAUUCUUAAUCAAAACCUUUGGAUGUUAUAAAAUUUAAAAGUUCAAAAGAAAUAUUAAUGUAAAAAAUAUUUGUCUCUUGAUCGUAUUCCAUAUGUACAUGAGUUAUUAUUUAUAGAAAUUUAAACUAAAUAAGCAAAACAUAGCUAACAUCUCUAGAAAUUUAACCUUUCUAAUAGCAACUAUUUACUUUAAUUUAGUCCUGCAUCAUGGUCUGGUUUCGUGAUGUUAUAAGGGGUGUAACGUCAUUGCAACACAUACCAUGCCAUUAUUUUUCAGGGCUUAGCUAGGUGGGAGGUUUAAAGCUUGACCCGUUGCUCUUCCUAGUGGCGGAGCUAGAAUUCUGAAUGAGGAGGGGCAUUUCACAAAUAUGUGUGUGUGUGUGUGUGUGAGUGUGUGUGUGUGUGUGUGAGUGUGUGUAAAAAGUUGAAUUCAUAACAUGUUGACAUAUGCAAUUUGUGUAAUCCUCACAAAACUGAAAAAAAAUCUCUUAAAUUCAAUACUAAGAAGAAAAAAAUGUAAAAAUCUAGACAACCAAGUAAGAGGUAGGUUGUGGAAGGCUAAAGAAAAUACAAAGAAGUAGAAAAGGAAGGAAAUGGGGGAGAGGUUUGCAAAUCAAGAAGGUGGGUUGCCUUAGAAAAUUAUAGGGUGUCUAUUACUGUUAGGUGAGAGAAUCGAACCAGAAGUGAGAUUGCUUUUUCCAUUAAAAUUGCACAUCUCCUUUAAAACUUCCCUGCCAAACUUAUCGUUUCAUUAGACAACCGAAAAAAUUUAAAAUCAAAACAGCUUAACGACGUUGUUUGCUUCAUCUUCUUCUAUGAGAUUCACACCUCAGAUGAAGUCAGGAUGGGCCGGGACUACCCUAGUCCCUUUGUGGCUCCGCCCCUGGCUCUUCCCAGCUUUUCCCUCUUGCCUUUGUCCUUGGGAGCUGCUGUCUCUCUAUUUUUUGCUCCUUUUUUCACGUUCUGUUUUUGUCGUUAGCUUGGUUUGGUCCGUAUUAUGUGACCUCUCCUAGCUGUUGUGGGAUUUUUACAAUUUUCCGAAGUACGAGAUAUCUUGAAUGUUUUAGAUUUUUUUAAGAAAAUACAAAAAAAAAAAAAAAAAAAGAAGAUCUAACUCUAUACUUCAAAGCAUCCUAAAAUUUUUGUUUGUUGUAUGACUCGGGAUUUGUGCCUUUUUUCCGAGAUUCUCUACGGACUCCAUGACAAACUUUACAAUUUCCCCCUUCCAUCACAAGAAUACUACAGAAAUUAGACAAAUAAGAAGAGAUAUCAUGCUAACCAAAGAAAAUCAUAACUUAAUUACACAUACGAUUACCUCUAAUCCAUGUCCAAAGCACACUAAUAGGAGCAGUCAAAUUACUAAAAAUCUGGAUAAUUAAAAUGAUAUGAUUUCUAAAAUACUAAAAAUCUGGAUAAUUAAAAUGAUAUGAUUUCUAAAAUAGCCCAGAGGUAUAUAGUGUGUUCGAAAAAAUAAAUUCACAAAGCAUAGCUUUAAAGUUGCCACAGACUCAUCACCACAAAAAAAAAAAAAAAAAAAAAAAAGGAUUAUAUGGAUCAAAGUCAAUGAACUUAAAUUGAUAAGUAAGUUUUAAGAUUAAACAUAAUAAUUUUCAUAGGAAUUGGUUCUCUAUCGAAUUAUCACAAAAACAUAUGCCUUGACUUUAAAGUUUAAACUGGUGGGAAUUGGUAGUAUACUGAAAUAUCUUAGGAAUGUAUACCUCGACUUUAAACUAGUGUACUAGCCCCGCCCACAGAGUUGUGAGGGGUCUCUGGCUGCUUUUAGGUCAUGCAACAUUUCUACACGUGAAAGUGUAGAGCUAGCUUUACUUAAAGGCAGGACUAAAAGUCUUUCCCCAUAAAAAGGGGCAGGCCCACGUUUUGCUUAUCGAGUCUCACCUAAAGUAAGAAAUGCCCCAGGUGUCUGUUGGAUAAAUAACAACAAUUAAUAAUAAAUUUAUGUGUACUAAUAAAUAAUAAAUACUAAUAAAUAAUUUAAGAAAAUAUGAACAAAACGAAAUAAUAUUAGCAGAUAAACUGAAGAUCGAAGCUUGUGUACUGCAAUGUCCUUGAAACAAAAAUUUUGUCCCUACUCAAUGCUUGUAGUUCUACGAACGUCUACUGCUUCACCAAGAUUCAACAAUCUAAGUUAGAAUUCCAGUACCGGAAAACUUGAUUUCUAACGAAUUUCUUUGUGGUUCUCUUAGUAAGAAUGUUUGGGAUUGUAGAAGAAUUUUAUUUUUCUGUGUUCUAAAUGCCAUGCAGAUAGAUGUCUAUAUAAUAAGCUUCACCAAGAUUCAACGAUCUAAGAUGUAUAUAUAAUAAGCUUCACCAAGAUUCAACAAUCUAAGCUAGAAUUUCAGCACCGAAAAACUUGACUUCUGGCGAAUUUCUUUGUGGUUCUCUUAGUAAGAAUGUUUGGGAUUGUAGAAUAAUUUUAUUUUUAUGUGUUUUAAUUGUCAUGCAGAUGCAUAUAUAUAAUUUUAUUUUUCUGUGUUCUAAAUGUCAUACAAAUGGAUUUAUAAAUAAUAAGUUUAUGCCUGAGUCCGUUGAUAUAUUAAUUAUAUAUUAAUUAUCAAUUAAUUAGUACACUUCAAAGCCCAAUUCCAAGGUUGAGCCUAAUUUUCUUCUUCAUGUUCCAUCACUUGAAUCACUUUCUAUAAAGGACAAAACCUUAUAAAGUGAGGGAACAUUUUGACAGUGACCAAUGUGAGACAAUGAAAUUUCUACUUAAAAAUUCCAAUAGUAUCCUUGUUAAGAGAGUUUCUUAGUAUUGUGUAACAAACGGAGCGUAAUUGUAAAAGAAAAGUAUACAUCUCAUGAUUAUAUAAUUGGACGGUGAUUAGCUAGUCAAGUAUAUAUCUUUAUGGGUUAAUUAUAUAAUAUUCCCUCAGGUUUGAGGUCUAUUACAAUCUCAUACAACAUCUUUAAAACAUUUCACUUUCAUACCUCACCUACUAUUUUAUUUCAAUAUAGUACCUCCAUUACAUUUUCUAUCCAUUAAUCUAUUAAGAGCUGGCGUGGCUGCCACCUGUGUGCCAAGUGGCAAAAAAUUAAUUAUUUUUUAUUUCUUUUAAAAAAAAACCUGAAUCAUCUCAACCAAAAAAAGAAAAGAAAAAAAAACCACAUUUUCUUCCCCAUGCCUUUCCUCUUCCCUACAACCCAAACACCCCCAUCUCCCCCCCCACCCAAAACCAACCCGUCUCCUACCUCAUCACCCAAAACCAGAACCACUCCCCCACUGCCGUCCUCUCCUUCUCCAUCUUCGAUUUGAGCUCUAUUUUAAAAAAUUCCUCCCUGAAUUGACCUAGACAACCACAAAAAUCAACCGCAAUAAAGGUUAUAAAACCUCAUAUCCAUGCCAGAAUGAGAUUCGGUAGAUGAUGGAGGAGGUAUAGCGGAGCAUGCUGUUCAUCUCGUCGAAGGAGAAGAAGACGUGUACAGACGAGGGGGAUGAGGACAUCGCGGGGUCGUUGGAGGAGAUGGAGUCGUUGAGGUCGGUAGGGCGACGGUAGAAGAAGACGACGAAUGAGGGGUACGUGUUGCAUAGUCAGGUCUUGAGGAUCAAAGAAGAGGACUCCUAUCUCGGCGAGAGUACGAUGUCCAUCCUGCCGAAGGCGAUGUGGCGCCAAUGGAGGUGAGGCAGUUGGCAGCUCUGUGGGAUCUAAGGAGGAGGGCGCCAUUUUUAUGGGUGUGUGUUCUUCUGGGCAUCGGCUGUGGAGGGAGGGAGGGAAGGAGAGGUGCAAAAGAAGGAGGAGAGUCGGGGGGGGGGAAGAUGGGUUCUGGGGAUUAUAUAUAUUUUUAAUAAUUUUUUUUAAUUAAUUAUUCUUAAAUGUAUAAAAAAAAUUGUCACGUGGCAUAAAUUUGGCAGCCACGUGGCAGCUAUGUCAGCUCUUAACGAAUUAAUUGAUGGAAAAUGUAAUGGAUGUACUAUAUUGAAAUAAAAUAGUAGGUGAGGUAUGAAAGUGAAAUGUUUUAAAGAUAUUGUAUGGGGUUGUAAUAAACCUCAAAUUUGAUGGGUACUAUGUAAUUUAGGGCUGGGUUUGGUUCAAAACGGUUCGGUUUUUUGCCAAAAUCGAAACCGAACCGAAAUUUUGGUUCAGUUCGGUUCGGUUCAUUUUUUUCGGUUUCGGUUUUUUCCGGUUCGGGUUCGGUUUUUUUUCGGUUUUUUAUUUUUAUUUUUUAAAUGAUGUAAAUGGAAGGAACCUCCCUAGCAACCUCCCAGUUCUCAUAUAUCAGAGAAUUGAGAGCCUUAAAAUCCUGAAUAUAUUCAAGUAAUUCAACUUUAUGAUCAUGAAAUAAUACAGAAACAUAUAUUCAAAAUUCUCAAAACUUAAGCAAAUACAGAAACAUAUAUUCUUCAAGGAAAUGUACAUCGUCAGGAUUCAAAAUUCUAAAACUUUAAAAUUUACAAAAUCAUGAAAUAAUUCGACAAAUUAGUUGAUUGAUGCAGAUCGAAACAAAAAAAAAAAAGCAAAUGGGUUCGUCUAAAUGCCAUAAUCGGACUCCAAUAUUGCAUGCCCAAGGCCCACAUUCAAAUUCAUAGUCAAGUCCACAAUAGAUCUAGAAAAUUCCAAAACUUAUUCAGAGAAAAAUACAAACUUUUUCACCUUAAAUUACAUAAAUUUCAAAUGGGUAACCAUAAAAUUAAAAACCCAUGAACUGACAAAUAAAUUAAACCCUCAACCUUUGCUGCAGCGAUAUCACCAUGACCGUCGCAAGCUCUUACAAUUCCUCUUUUCGUCGGGUCUCGAUAUGGGCGAGGGAAAAUCAUGGUUUGGAAGAAGGAAUCCGCGAGGAGGAUAGGAGAGGACUGGAGAGAGAGUGAUUUGGAGGAAAAGAGGAAGGAGAGAGAGAGAGAGAGAGAGAGAGAGACUGAGGAAGCAUAGGUAGAAAGGAAGCAGCGAACGGACAGAGAGAAAUAGAGAAGUGUUUGAGAUCUAAAAUGAAAUGGGAGUGAGACGGCUAGGGUUUGCAAAGUUAGAAAAUUUUAUAAAGCAUUAAACAUAAGAAACCUAUAAAUAUUUUACUGGUACAAUUAUAACCACAAGGAGCCUACAGCAAGUUGGCUUGCACCAGCUAACCCCAACCUACAGGUUCAGGGUUCAAACCCUGAUGCCGACAUGUAUUUUUUUAGUAUUUAUAUAUGAUUUUUUUUCGGUUCGGUCUGGUUCGGUUUCCGGACCUCAAAAACCGAAACCGAACCAGUUAGUUUCGGUUCGGUUCGGUUUGACAAUUUCGGUUCGAUUUUUUUCGGCCUCGGUUCGGUUUGGUUUUCGGUUUUCAGUUUUUUUAACCCACCCCUAAUGUAAUUUAACCUAUCUUUAUUGUAAGACAGUAUACGUAUUUACCUAUUUAGUUAUGGAUUAGACACGCAUGCAUGCACAUUUGUGGAAAAGGUUUGUUUGAAAUGAUUAAUGUGUUGAAAGGUUAUUUCGGAAUCUUGAAAUGCAUGCAUGGGAAGCAGUAAGGAGUACUAAAAUUAUAAGGGGGCAUUUGUUUUCCCUCACUAACUGUUAUUGGAUUAAAUUGGACUAACUAUUAGACUAGUUGUUUGUUCCGUAGUGGUAUUAUGUUUAAUGAGAUUAAAGGGGACUCGCAUGGACAAACUCCUUCACUAGGAGUUCUUAGCGAGACCCCCAAUACCCAUGGGAUUGCUAAGACUUCGUCUGCUCCGCCUUCGUACGCUUUUUCUCAUCCUUUUUCUGCUCUCUAUUCUCUUGAGCACCGACAUCCACCAUCACACCACAACUCGCCAACUCUAGCGAGAUCACACCAUCAGCCCACCACCACUCUUUCCCUUUCUCCUCACCAUGAACCCAAAAUUUCAACCUGAGGAAGAUCUCGCUUUUACCGUUGUCCAUCCAACUCUAGUUGUUUGCUUCGCUGCGCUUCGAACUCAACCUUGGACUUGUCGGCUUCGCACAAUUGACGGGAUCUUGUGAACCCAACGGUGGGUGAGCCAUCCAAUGCGCUUGAAUGAAUAUGAGAGGCUAAAAACGCUGGAGCCACAACUACGUGUUCUCCGCCAAGGGUAGUGGCUUGGGAUUCUUGUUUUCAUUUGGUUUUAAUUUAAAUUGGGUUUUGAUUUCGAACUGGAUUUGAUGUGAUCUGGAAUUGGUAUUUGAUUUGCUCUGCAAUUGUUUGAAAGAUCUGCGGGUGUGGAAUGAAUUUUCGGAAGAGAGUAAGAGAAUUUAGAACAAAGAAAAAGAGAUUAAAUAAUAAAAUAUUAAUAUAUAUUAGAUUAAAUAAUAUUAAAUUAGAAUAUGUUAUUAUUUAACUUUUUAGUCUGACAUUACACCAAACGCUUCAUUAAGUUAGUACAGCUUAGUCUAAUAUAAGCCAGUCCAGCUUAGUCCCUGAAGCUAGUUCGGUUCGAGAUAAUCAGGUGCAACAAACGCAUCCAAUAGUAUAGAAUUUGUUUCGUACUAAAGUCAACAAAGGCAUGCAUGCGUGUCUUCGGUUACUAGUACUAGCUCUUGGGCAAAUUUGGCAGUCUCUCUCAUCUCAAUGAGAGAGAACAUUGUAUGUGGGUCUUAAAUCCUGUUAUAUUAUAAUUAAUUGGGUUUUUUUAUUAACACCCCACUUAAAUAUGUAAUACUAAACAACUUGUAACUCUAAUAUGAAAUGACUAUUCGAGCCCCAAAAGCUACUCUUACUCUCCAUUGUAGAACAAAACCCUAAAAACACAAAUUAGUUGAUGAAAAUAUAUCUUUUGAUGAACGGAACAAAAAAAUUGAGUUUUGCUCCUCGUUCAUUCGUUGGUUUUUAUAUUCAAGAAAUUAUUUAAAUAAUGGAAUAAAAAUUUGACUUUUUGCAAAGCCCUGCUCUAGUUGGAAUCCAAGAAAUAGGAAAAAAACUGGAGAAUAUUGUAAAAUUUUAAGAUGUAAUAAAUGUAAUAUUCUUGUGGUUGUUUGAUGAUGAAGAAAUUCAAUGUUUUUUGGCUGGUUGAAACUGACAUGACCUUAUAAGAACAGUUCCUACCAUUUGUCCUUCAGGCUUCUUAGAAUCCAACGUGAUUGUUCAAGAAAAUUUGAUGGAUGUUUAUAAAUCAAACGACAAGAUGGAGUUUUUUUACAAUUUAAUUCAUCUUUCUUGUAAUGUGGAUUGUUCUAUUGUGUGAAAGAGAUGAAGAGUUUGACGUGUGGUUAAUUAGUUGAUGAUUGUGGGGGUGUGUGAGAUGUGAGGUGUGGGGUGUACAAGAUGUGAGGGUAGUAUUGGAAAAUACGUGGGGUGUGUUAAAAUUUUUUUUUUUUAAAAGUAAAUGUAGAGUGUAUUAAGUAUGUGAGGUGUAGUCAACAAAUUGUGAGGUGUUAAUAAAACAAGCCUAUAAUUAAUUACGAGAAUUGUUAUUUUAACAUUUCAAAAAUUUUAUUCUACACUUUUCAUAAGUGUAUUUUUCUUUCUUUAUAUGGAAAGUUUAGAGUGCAAAAUGAGAUUUUUAGAGUGUCAAUAACAAUUUCCUUAAUUGAAUAGAAGUUCUCUUUGUAAUUAUAGUAUGUAUUAUAAAAAUGUGAUUUUCAAUUGUAAUUAGUCUAGAAUUUCCACCUCAAUAAGAAUUAAUAUAAUGCAUAUAUAUUGUAAUAUUGUUCACACAUCAAUACAAAGAGUCAAUAAUUCUACAUGCUAUCACUCGUCUAAGUUUUCUUAGGUCCUAGGUUUCUGCUCUCCCUUUCUUCCCUGGACGUCCCACCAUUAUUCCUCAUGGCAUCACCUUCUUCCUCUUUACCCGAUCAAAACGCUGCAACCUUCCUUAAACUUUCUACCGCCAACUAUAUUGUUUGGGUCAGUCAACUUAUCUUAUUGGUCAAGAUCUCUGGAAAUAUGUCUAUGGUUCUUCUCCCUCUCCCCUCCUUUCCCUAUUCGGCCCCAUGUCUGCUUCAAGGCCCACGCCCUUCAUUCCACAAUCAGCAUCUGCGCCUGCCUCUGCUGCUUCAUUUGCGCCACAAUCUGGACCUGUGCCCGUGCCUAUUGGACCUUGUGCACAAUCCACAUGCUCCUGUACUGGACCCGUGUCCACCACACCUCCAACCAGCUCAAUCUCCAGGCCCGUGCCUCCAUAUGUGCCUGCUAUCGAUUAUCCUCCUCCACUGCUUCCUCGGCUGUCACAUCUACUCAUUCCAUGGUCACUUGCCGUACUAGAUGAGCCAUAGCAAGCUUUCUCCUCUUAGAUUUAAUUUUUACAGGAUUUCUGCCAUCCAAAUAGAUUUGUUGACAGCUUUACCUUUCUCUCUGACUUCCUUUUUAGCCUAUGUAUCAUGGGUGACAUGAAUUCAACAUUUUACAAACUAUGCCUACUUAUCAGAAAAAUGUUAUUUCGUAAUGCUCAUAUUUUGUCGACCAUUCAGACAUAGUAGUUUCUUAGGUUUUAAACCUAGCAAUAUAUUUAGAUAUGUUAAAAUCGCCAUCUUGUCCAUGACUGGUCAAGUUUUAGAAGCAUAACAUCCUUCCAUUAUGUCAUCAUGAAUCCAGGUUAAGUGAUUCAUUUAUGUAUUAUUUCUAAAUUGCUUGAUACGAUACUAUUUACAAUAAUAUAGGCUAACUUGGAUAGUUAUUGAAUAUUUGUUUCUGGUUUCCUUCUCGAUGUUGAAGAUCUUCAUUCGCAAAAGAAGUGAGCGAUGGAAGAGUUCAUGAUGGAUUGCUGCGAAGGAUUAGACAUAUACAUAUAUUUAUAUUCUUUUUGAGCAUUCCAUAUCUAAAGUUACCUGAUGCAAAGACUGUAAGAACCUGUUUUAUUUUUUUAUUUAUAUUUUUUUUGCAAUUGCUAGAACGGCAACAGAGCUUGCAGGACAUAUAUUUUGUCAUGUUGCAUGCACACACAAAAUUUAUGUGAACUGCGUGCUACUUUUGUUUCUGAUGCAAAGAAACUAUAUUUUGUCAUUGCAACUUUUGUUAAUAGAAACUUUUGAAUUCGCCAUUUUGAUUGUAUAUUGGCUCUUGAUGUCAACUUAAUAGAAUGUAAAUGCAAACUGAACUACUUAUUUUACUGUUUCGAUUCACCUAUCUCUUGGUUUUUCAAUUAUUUGGAGAUGACCGUGUUAAUUUGUGGUUUUGUGGUAAUUACUCGAGUAAAAUGUGCGUUGUCUAGAUUGCUGCAUUUGAAAAUGCGAGUAUGUUGCUGCCGCCAUUUGAGUGAUUUUUUUUUAGGAUAUUAUUCAUUGCUAUUGUUGAUUAUGGUUUGAAAACGCCCAGCAGAGCGCUGACAGUUUUUCUAGUAAGUACUAAAGUUGUAAUUAGGGAAGGGGUGGGGUGAUUGCCUCAUGAUUGUUGCACUGUAAAAUUCACAUACAGUCUCUAGUUAAAAUAACACAAUACUUCGAAAACCCUGAGAUCCCGUGAUAUAAGCUGAUAAUAUAUAUCUUCUUCAACUGGAUGUGAAGUCGAUCUGUCUUUUAUUUAAGUUUACUGAGCAAAGGGGACUAGCCAUAAAAGCUCGAAGGGGAGCUCGGUACUCGUAGUCAUGAUCAUCACAAUCAUCAUAUGAAGCAUAACUACUUUUCCAUAACAUUAAUUUAUUUAAUUAAUUAAUACUCAGCUACCAAAGUAGUAGUUAAUCCAUAUGAUUCUCCAUUAACUCUACGGCAGUUCAAUCUAAUCUCCCCCUCGGUUCCGGUCAACGGGCUUAUAUUACCCAUUUUAAUCAUGGAUUCCCCGAAAUUCUCAAAGAAUGCGCUCUGAUUAGCGCUGAAGUUGUUAACAAUGUCGAUGGUAUCAGCCCCGCUAGUUGAAAACAGCUCUUGAUCGCUUUGGAGCAAGCCUUCCUCAACUUGAAGAUUCGAGAAAUAAUUUGCAUCAAAAGUGUCAGGCGUUACAGGAUCCAAAUUGGUCAGUACACUGCCAUUCCCAUUCAGUGGGCAUAUCUCACUCAAUGUUUCUAAGUAGGUUGAGUUCAAGGUCGGAUCAGGACUGCCUGUGCCGCUGAAGUUAUACAAUCGAUCGGUGAAAGUUAAACAUCUAGCACGCCCAAAUGUGUGAGCACCUGUCAAUUUUGCAUGUCAAAUUUUGUUACUAUAAAGAAAGGGAACAUAGAUAUAUUUUUUUGCAGCCGUACGAUUUGCUUGCUUACCAGAUAGUGCAACCAGAUCCGUGGUGUUGAGGCCUACAGCUAAGAAGCUGGCCUCGAGUUGGUCAAGUGUAAAAGUAGGAGCUGGAAGGUCUUCGUUGGCAGCCGUGCGAUUAGCUGUUAAGCUAUCCCUUCUUCCUAAUAGCACUGUCCAUGAAGGACCUCCAGACUGCAACCAUAGAUGAGUUACUCAAAUUCCAAAUCUCAUGAAACAAAAUGCUUUAAAUUGUUGUUGAAGCUUGAAAUGUAUACCAAAGCAACAGAUUCUUCGGCAGCAAUGGCGAGAAUAUCAGCACAGGAAACGACGGCGGGACAAGCAUUCUCCAAUGCAGUCUUGAUAUUGUCCACAACAUCAAAUCCUCUGGCCGAGUUGUUAUUUGCCAAUGCUGUUUUUUCGCUGUCAAUGGUACUGUUAGGAUUGGUACUGUUGUCCAGCAGAAUUGAUCCAUCGCAACCCUGAAAUAUAAUCAACUAGUGUUUUUCAUCUAAAAAUUGCAUGUUUUUUAAUUUUGCUUACGUCUUCAGAAGUUCUAUUAACAGAGAAGCAGCCGAUAAUAAAAGAACUUUUGUGCUCAGGCAUUGUUCCGAAGCCCUGAAACUUAGAAGCUGCUAAUAUAUACAAAGUAAUCUUGGUUGGUAUGUUUUCAAAGUUGAAUAAGUUGUUCAGCUUAAAUCUUUGAAGAACUAAUUAAAAUUCGCAUCUGAUGCUAUGGAGAUAUUUUCAGGGAAACUAAUAUUAAUUCCAUUUGGAUAAAAAGAAAAGAAAACAUGGACAGAUCUUUUUGUGCUCCAACCAAAGUUCUAAAAGACUUUAGGCAAUAGUCGAGCGGCGGACUAGAGCCUAACGGCUAGGCGGGCCCUAGGAGGACUAGAUCAAUUUAAGCAAUUUAUUGUAUAUUGUAUAAAUAAAUGUCUAUUUAUACUUCAAAAGACACAUAAUUGUAUUGAAUAUGUAAAAUUGCUAGAUAAAAUAACAUACAAAUUAUAAAGUAUUAGGACAUAUUGUAAAUAUGGGAAACAAACAUAUAAUAAGUGUUUAUCCAAGUAUUCAACGAGUCUCUUACAUUUUAUUGACAAAAAUAAAAUGCAAAAUGAAAGUUAUCAAUUUUAUGUCUAGGUGGGAGUCGCGACCUAGGCGGUGCAUAGGCAGGUUUAGGCACACUUUCUUAACUUUUAAAUGCCUAUGGACUAAUUGAGACGAUGACCAGCUGCCUAGUGUCUAAGCAGGAAUUUUCAGAAUAGUGGCUCCAACUACAAGUUCUACUUAUUUUAAUUAAAAGGGUUCUUCACAAAUAAGCUCCCUCAAAACUAUGUUAGGUCAAAGACACUUAAAUCUGCUUGCAGUAUACACUAAAUAAGCAUAACACCAUAAAUCGAGCUGGUGCACUACUACUGAGGCCAUACUUAAAACCAAAAUCCCGGACUGGAAAUUUCCAAUAAAAAAAAAUCCCGGACUGGAAUUCGUGAUAAGAACACCGGCCAAAGAAAGAUUUUUUUACAAACAAAGGGUAUCAGAAGCAAAGAAAUGAAUCAUACGUUGACAAAGCAAUCGUGAAAGUGAAGCCGAGUGAGGCUGGCAGUAAUCCGGGGAUCGGUCUGCAGAGCCUCUUCAAUGACUCCACGCACAAUGCUGGUGGCAUUCGGGCAUGUUUCAUCAUAAAACGUAGGAGUCAACUGAGCAUCACCACAUCCUGCACUUGCACACAAGAUUAGUAACACUGCCAAAACAUAUUUGUAAUACAAUUGAGCACUAUAAGAAGGAGGCAUUUUUUUCAGGUGGUGUUCGAUUUUUCUAACAUAUGUUGAUCAAUGCAUAUGUGAGCCAAACGGUAUAGGUCUAUUUAUUGAGUGACAGAGUGAACUGGUAGAUGAGAAACCCGCGUUAGGUAGAUGUCAAAUUAGCUUUAUUUUUUUU
This 79752-nucleotide long non-coding RNA is filed under the name Malus domestica (apple). RNAcentral describes it as "long non-coding RNA (MDOM_LNC002291)". The record is from RNAcentral. Lineage: Eukaryota; Viridiplantae; Streptophyta; Magnoliopsida; Rosales; Rosaceae.